GUGAAGCUACGCGGAUCGUCGUCCGGGAGGGCUUUCAUGAGCUCGAUGGCUUUUGAAUAUUUUUCGAUGUAGGCUUUAUCCACGGUGUGAGCUGCCGGCCUGACGCGGAGUUUGGUAGGGGAGGGGAAUUUGAAGUCUACGAUUUUUUGGGACGUUGGCGGGCAACAGUUGGUCGGGACUGCUCCACUUGGAAAGUCCGCAGCUCCGCAUUUGGCUAGGUCAGGCGGCGACACUGGCUUUGCAACAGCGAAGGGGUCGCUGCCAAGACCAGCCACUCCACCGUAUAGGCUUCCGAGACCUAUAAGUACAUUUCUUCUGUCUAGGUUUACUGGAGAAGGGUUUUCAUGGUCGUGAUCGUUGGAGCUAGUGGAAGGGUUUUUGUUUUGGUCACUACUAUUAUUUGUGGCUUUGCAUGAGACAGCUUGUAAAUUGGAAUGCCUAGGGUUUCCAAAUGAGGAUAUUCGGUGAUACUUUUGGGAGAAAGGGGAGAGGAAAGUUGUGGGGAUGAUACUUGUGGCGGAGGUGACGAGUGGAGCUGACAUAGAAGCCAUGGUUACUUUUGACUCUGAAUAAUACGUUGUAUUGGCUUUGCUUUUAUAAUGUGUUCUAGGUUGUACUUUUCUUUGCACAGGUGGCAGGCCGUACACACGUGGUCGGUCCUUAAGGGUUUGACGAGGAAUACUACGUAGUCAUUUAGUACAGGACAACCAUACACUAUAGCAAGUGGCAUGUAUUUAGAGAUCGAGAGAGAAUUGGGUAAGGUUCACGAGGGAUUUGUAGUUUCAGAAGGUGAAUUGGUUUUGGUCUUCUUGUGUACCAAUAAUAUUUACUUAGUCAUUUAGUGCAGGACAACCAUGCACUAUAGCAAGUGGCAUGUAUUUAGAGAUCGAGAGAGAAUUGGGUAAGGUUCACGAGGGAUUGUAGUUUCAGAAGGUGAAUUGGUUUUGGUCUUCUUGUGUACCAAUAAUAUUUACUUAGUCAUUUAGUGCAGGACAACCAUGCACUAUAGCAAGUGGCAUGUAUUUAGAGAUCGAGAGAGAAUUGGGUAAGGUUCACGAGGGAUUGUAGUUUCAGAAGGUGAAUUGGUUUUGGUCUUCUUGUGUACGGCUGUGGGUCUGCUGUCCCGGACUCUCUGUCUCAUUUGUGUCUUAUUUUUUAUUUUUUCACACGUGUCUUUUACUUAACGUCAAAUCAUGAUAGCAAUGUUAUGCAAUUGGGAGCUAAACGACCGAUGCUUUUAUUUUUUAGUUUGCUUUUUUUCCAGAUCUGAUCAAAUCAUGAUAGCAAUGUUAUGCAAUUUUCAAGAGGGAAAGAUGCACCUGGGAGAGAAACGGUACGGUGACUUCUAAAUCACCGUCCAACAGAACAAUUCUCAGUAGAGACUACUAGAGAGAGAUGCACCUCACCAAUGAAAAAUUUAACUGCAAAAAUUCUGGGUAUUGGGUAAGGAAAUUCGGUGAUACUUUUGGGAGAAAGGGAAGAGAGAAGUUGUGGGGAUGAUACUUCUCGUGGAGGUGACGAGUGGAGCUGACAUAGAAGCCAUGGUUACUUGACUCUGAAUACUACGUUGUAUUGGGUUUGCAUAUAUAUAUAAUUAGGAUUGAAGGAUGUAGAGCUUAUUUUGUUAUGUAUUUUAACGAUUUAAGUGCUUAUCUUUUAGGUUUUCUCUUAAACAUCAUGUCUAUAAAAAAUCACCAAAAUUCAAACCAUAUGACCAUUAGAUCCAUAGUCAUUUUAGUGUUUAUUUGUAAAAUGUAUUCAUUCAUUUUCUUCACUACAAAUGAGUGAAUUAAUGAUUUUAGAAUUUGUCUAAUUUUUUACAUUGAUUAUUUAUGAAUGUUGAAUUGAAAUUUAGACGAUUCAAAAAUAGUUGAUAUGCAUUACAAAAUGAACUCCACAAAAUAAGUGUCAAAAUAUGUAUAAAAAAUGGACAGCGUGAAUGGCUUGGAAAUUGGAAUAGGUUUGAAAAUUGUGCUUUUUGUAGCAAAUUUUAGCAAAGUUUGCUUGGACUUUCACAACCGUAUAAAUUAAAGGGAAACUUGAUAUAACUCCAAUUUUUUGAGCCAAUAGUAGGAAUAGUCCAGUUUAUUAAAAUAAGUUCAAUUCUUUAAAUUUAAUUAUUUAGUUAUCAAUAAUUAUCUCUUAAAAGAAAAAACUUAUUGUAAAAAUCAAAUUUCUUCCUAAUUAUCUCUUUGAUUAUUUCUUUUUAUUUAUUUAUUUGUUAUUUCUUGUUCUUCCUCCUGCUUUAACCCAUUUAUAGAUUUUUUUUUUAAUUUUAUAAUCAACCUAUGUCACAGGUUAAUUGUAUUUAUCUACCUAUAUGACAUAUUCUUUUUCAUAGUCAACAUUUCACAGAUUAAUGUGUCUUGCUUGUAGAUAUAUUAUGUUUUUUUCUACCUUUUAGUUAGGUUUCAUAUCUCACUUAUAGGUAUAAUAUACAUUCAUAUAUUUGCUACUUGAGUUAGGGUAGAAUGUUUUGCAGAUAGAUUUAUGUUAGUAUAUUAAUUUUUUUUUGUUUAUAAGAUAUUAAUUAGAUAUUUUGGAGUUGAAAAAUGCAUAAUAUUAAAAGCUUUUAAUUGAUUUUUAAUAUUUUUAGAAAAUAUAAAAGGAGUAUAAAAGAAAUCAAAACAUAUAAUUAGAUAACGGGAGUCACUCCUAAAAACACUCUAUGUUUUUUGACCUGGAUCUUAAAGCCCCUAAAUUAAACUGUUCGCUUUGUUGGGAAAAAGAAGUGGCCCUAGUUUCCCUUUGAUUUUUCAAGCACGGUGGGAGACUGGUCAUAGUUUCUAGAUUGAUGCUCUAAUUCUAAUGUUAUACAACGCGUACGCUAUAAUAUUUUUAUCAAAAUAUUAGUUUUAGUGUUAUCAAAACAAUAUGUUAUUCUUACCAUGUUUUUGUAUCACAAUUAUAUACCACCUUAGAUGGUAUCUGAUGUGGACAGCCACAUCAUUUAAAUUAAUAAGCAUUUAAUUUCAAAAUGUUAAUCAAUAAUUAAUAAAAAGAUUGUUAAUUAAAUGAUGAUUGUGGUAUACAAGGAGUCUCCUUCUUCCUUCCUCUUUCCAUUCUGCUUUUUCUUCUUACCUCUUUUUUUUUUUUAAUGCCAGUUUUGUAUUGAUUUCUGUUGAUUUCCAUGAUUAUGGUCAAUCUUUAUAGAAUUUACUAGUAUGCCACAAUCACCAUUGAUUUCUAUCUCCAGACUCAUGCCCCGUAGCCCUAAUCCUCAUUCCCCUUCAAGUAUUUCUGUCUCCAAUCUUCUUUGGUACUCCAUGAUUGUUCAUCUCGUGAUAUUUUUUUUUUUGAUUAUUUCAUUAAGUAACGCUUAUUAGCUUUCAUGCGAAUUAGGAGUCAAAAUCAAAUUUGUCUAUCGGAUUAGGGUUCAUACCCAAUUAAGUUACUAACGCCAGAGGGAUUUUGAAGUAUGCAAUUUUCCUUAUUUAAGUGUUUUAAUUAAUAAGAAAAUUGAAAUUAAACAAUUUAGCUUGUCCAACUCAUCUGCCACCUAAGAUGGUAAAUAAAUGUGGUAUAAAAUUGUGGUAAGAAUAUCAUUACUCUUAUCGAAAUUACAAAAAAAAAAAAAAAAGCUGAUUCAAUAUUUAGUUAUUAAAAAAAAAAUGAUCAAGUAACUAUCCAAUACCCAUGUAUUGGGUGCUUUGUUUGAAAAUUUUCAAAAUGAUAUUGGGCUCGUUUGGAUAUGUUUUUAAAAUGACUGAAAGCAUUUUUAGAGAAAAUAUUUUUUUGAUUCCAAAAGCACUUAAAGUGCUUUCUGCAAGAAGCACCCGUUAUGUGCUUCUUCCUGGAAGCACUUUAAGUGUUUUUCCAGCAUUUACUUGCUUUUUUACUAAGGACUGGUUCCAAAAACAUUUUCACAAAAAGUGUUUUCAGUCAUUUUAAAAGCACAUUCAAACGAGCUCAUUGUUUUUCCUAUUUUAAUCGAGUGCGUCGUCCUCUGUUGAGAAUGAAUCUCAUAUUAUGGGAGGAGGGAUCUUGCAUGAAUGGGAGGAGGGACCUUGCAUGAGCUUAUAAGUAAGUUGGGUUACUCUCCAUAUUGCCAAAAGAAAUUUUAUUUGGACCCAGUUUUCCUCUCUCUAAACCCAACUUUAAUAUUUUGUUACCUAUAAACUCUCUAGUUUACCCUCAUAAAUUAUAAACAUAAAUAAACUAGAAAAAGAAAAACUCAUCAAACCCAUUUCCCAACUGUUCUGGCGUCUCUUCCCUGUAUUUGUUGGGUCUGUCUCCCUCCCGACUGUUUUUUUUUUUCUGAUAUCUCUGUGUGUUCCCCCACCUCUCCCACACCCACCAAUUCUUUGUGGUGGCUAUUCCACCAAACGUCCAGUGAAUCUUUCCAUUUUUCUUCUAUUGCGCGUGAUAGGGCCUUGCUAUUAAUAGGCAAAACUAAGCGGCAUCGUCGACUCCGUAAGCGACUUGUUGCAUAAGUCCAAAAUGGAGUCAAAUGGAUUUUGUAUUGGGUCGGGUUGUUGAAGGCGAUGGCUGAUUUAGCAAUCCCGCCUAACUAUUUCUAUAUGUAGGAGAAGGAAGAGGGAGGGAGGUCUGAAGUGGUGGUUGAGUGGUGGCGAUGUAUGUGGGUUCUCUCUCGGUUGAAUGGGUGUAGAAAGAUAUUUAAUUUUCAAUAUCUUAUUUUAUUUUGUAUAAGGGAUAAUAUAGGAAUUACAUAAAAAGUUUUUUUUAUAGCUAGGUGUAGAAAUAGUAUUGUUGGGUCUAAAUAAAAUUACCCUAUUGCCAAUUAGUUUUAUGGUGAAAUCUUAACUUUGUUCAUGCUUUCAUAGUAGGUUGUUCCACGUGUGAAGUCAAACAUCCACACGCGCUGCACGUCACCCCGUUGUGUUGUUCACGUGUUAAGCUUGAAAAUUCAUCACACAUGAGGGAGCGUGUUGAGAAUAAAUUCCACAGUUUAUAAGUAAGUUGUACUACUCCGUAUAUUACCAAUUAAUUUUGUGGAAUUCCGUCAAAGCUGAAUUUGACGGAAAAAAAUAACUUCAUGUUUGUUCUUAACUAUAAAGUCAGUGAUACACUAAUUCUGGUUUGUUUGUUUUUUCCUUCCUUCUUAAGGAAAUUCCCAAUCCAACCAAAAAAAUGAAAUUCCCAAGAGAAUAGUAGCACGAACAAUCGUAGCUUUCUUCUUCGAUAAGCCUUGGGGAAACAGAAAAGGGAAAACCGGACUUUAACCCUAAUUUCUCCCAAUGCCGCAGCACUCUCUAUUUUCUCUCUCGCUCUAUAUCGCGGUCCCUCUCUCUCGCCGUCCUCUAUUGCUCAAACUCAAUGUCUCCAACUUCCUCUGUAUGGUUCCCGAGGAAGAUGGUAAAACAGUAAGGGCAAGAAAUUGUGACAAGGUUAGAUUUGGGUAUUAAUCUGGUGGGGCUACAAUUCUCCAAUCCACACCCCUUUCAUCUGUGCUAGUGUUUGAACCCAAUAUUAGAUAACCGGUCCAUGCAAUCGAUGCCGUUGAAUGAGAAAAAUUCUAGGCCGUGGGAUCAAAUAUAAUGAUGUGGAUUAAAUAAGGAAAAUUUAAAGAGUAAUGAUAUUCAUACCAUGUUUUUGUACCACAUUUUCAUACCACCUUAGGUGGCAUUUGAUGUGGAUAGCCACAUCAUUUGAAUUAAUCAGAUUUUAAAAUUUAGUUGAUUAUUUAAUAAACUAAUAAUUAAGAAAAACUAAUUAAUUAAAUGAUGAUUGUGAUAUACGAGGAGUCUUUCUCGUUCAUUUCUUUGGGUUUUGCAAAUUUUUCAAAUGAUGUGGCUGUCUACAUCGGAUGCCACCUAAGGUGGUAUAGAAAUAUGGUAUAAAAAUAUGGUAUGAAUAUCAUUACUCAAAUUUAAAUGUUUAUCUUGGUUAAAUUACCAUGAUAAUAUUGUGGAAUUAUCUUUUGCAUAACGGAAGAGCGAGAAAAGUCCAAGGGUGUAGGGAAGUUGUGUGGUUGACUACCGCUAUUUUGAUGGUAUAAUCUGUAGAGUAAUAUUACAUUUAACAUCUAUUUGUAUCAUAUUUCUAAUAAAGAUAAGGACCAUCAAUGCAUAAAUAAUUAAACAAAUAUAUAAUAAGAGUAUCAUUUUUGUAACUAGAAUAGGAGAAGAAAGACUUCAAGAUGGGAUCAGCCAAAUAAUUAGCGUUAAGAUAAAAAUAUUGAAAGGAAAACUAAUGAAAAUGGCUUGAAAACUUUGAGUUUUAACGAUAAGGACAAGAUAAAGGGUAAAGUGAAUAGUACCAGGAUUGACUUUUUAAUGUAAAAAUAUAGUUUUUCGUUAAAGUGAACAUUACCGGGAACUUUUCGUUAAAGUUUCCAAUGAGAUAAUAUUGCAACAGCUGGCAUGAGACAAUGAUGGUAUAAAGAUGGCUACUACGGCCAAACUACUACAUAGGAUUCCAUACAUGCGGUCAUUAUUUCGACAAAUCAAUGGCUGCCGCAAUCAUGUGCUCAUUAUUCCGACAAAUCAGUAGCUACUUGCAUUGGAUUAGGAUUGCAUGCGUGUGGUCAUUGAAUGAGGAUUGCGUGCACGUGAUCUUUAUUCAAACAAAUCACUAUUGACCAUAUAUUGCAAUUGGUUAAUGGUAGGCAAAUUGAAUUUUUACAUCAAAUAAUGUGAUUGCUGAUAAUUGAAUUAUUAUUUAAAUGUUGAUUAAUAUGCUUAUUUUUUAUUUGUGAUAUAUCAUUUAAUUUGUACAUUUAGUUUACCUAACAUUACCAACUGUAAUUUGUAUAAAUGGACUGGUACCUAACAUAACCAGUUGUAAUUUGUAUAAAUGGGACUGUAAUUUGUAUAAAUGGACUGGUGCCUAACAUUACCAGUUGUAAUUUGUAUAAAUUUACUGGUCCCAAGAGCACAUGCUACUGCUCAAGAAGCAAAGUUCUUAUUUGCCCAAAAAAAAUCAUGGUUUUUUAAUUGAUGCUCUCAUUUUAAUUUACUAGCCCCUUACUUGGCCUUUUUUAUUUAUCAUUUUAUACAUAUUAAUAUUUUUUUGUAAAAUAUAUUAGUUUGAGUUUUAUUAAAAUUAAAAAUAAAUAAAAAAACUUAGUUUUAGUUUUAUCAAAUUAAAAAAAAAUGACUUAAUAUUUAGUUAUUGAAAUUGUAAAAAAGUGAUCAAGUAUUGGGUGCUUUGUUUGAAAUUUUUCAAAAUGAUAUUGUUUUUACCAUUGAAACCCUGUUAUAUACAGUGAUGGCUAAUUUGUCAAGUUCUACGAAGUUGGGAUACCCAGCGUUUUAGCAUAUAACAUAGCUUAGUAUUACAAGCAUAAUUAAUUAAAAUAAAGGCAAAAUAAGAGGAUAGCUUAGUAUUACAAGCAUAAUUAAUUAAAAUAAAGGCAAAUUGUAACAGCCCGUCCCUAAAAAUGACGAUUUUAUAAUCUUAACACGUGAGUUUAUGAAGAUGCCCUUCGAGGCAAAGUGUUGACUACCGCGUCGUGUCAUGUGAGACUCAUCUUCUUGGCGUAUUCUCGUUUUACUCGUCGCUACGGAUGCGUGGGCGCAAACGACACGUGAUUUGGAGCUAUAACAAAAGAGUUAUUAACAUUUAAAGUUAAGGACAUUUUAGUAAAUUAAUUAAUUUCAGAUUUUGUUGAGGGGAAAAUCUGGAGUGCCAUGUGGGUGGCCCAGAUUAAAGGAAAUGAGGAAUGGAUGGUGGAGGUGUAAAGGAAAGAAGAUAAAAGAAAAAUGAGAGGAAAUGUGUGACUAAUAGGGAGAUGAGAGAGUUAGGAUGGCCCAAUUAGAAACAAACGAAAGGAGGAAAAAGGAGAGAAGAGGGGAGCAGGGGAUCCCUUCAACCCGGUUCCACUUUCCGACCCGACCCGAUCCUUUUCAUCUUUUCCGGUGGUUUUUCGUCAGUUUUUCCGGCGAACCACGUUAUCUAACCCCGUUGAAAAUGUUCCACGACCUUCCCUCUACCAUUACAACCCAAAAUUGUAGAAAUUUAGCCAUGAAAGUAUGAAAACCGCACCGGUGGGUGCGGGAAACCUUUGUCGUCGAUUCUCCCAUUAUUGAAACGAUUUUCACCAAUUAUCACCACCUACAGCAUCCUCUUGAGGUCUGGAAUAAAGCCCAAACAAGUUUUGGGGCGUUGGAGUUCGUUUAAGGUCGAAUUGAGCACACCCAAAUUCAAGGGUUCCGUACCGUUCAUGGUGAUUUGAGGUGUUUCUCGGCCAAAUUGGCCUUAGUCACAAGUAUGAAAGUUGCUCCACUCGUUGAGAUCUUCAUUUAUGUGAAAUUUGAGAAUUUUUUGAAAUAUUUGGAUUUUCCAGCGAGUCGGGGUGGCGGACCGCCACCGGCAGCAGCGCAUGGCCAGUGGUCCACCAAUGUCAUUUUACGUUAAAUUGAUAUCUUGAUUUUAGAUUUGAUGUCUAUAUGUUAUGACUUGAUUAUGUGAACCUAGUUUGAUUAAGGUGCGUUAAUUGGUAAAAAUAUGAAACGACGAUCCGACCGUGGGAUCGUCACCAAACUUUAAUAUGUUAUAGUACAUAAUAUUUGAGAAUCAUAGGGACUGACAGAUAGGAAAUCCGAGAUACAGAUCUUCCCGAAAUGGAAUUGUAAGUUUGAAGAAUAAACGUUAACCGCCACUUUGUUUUGACUAUUGGUGGAGAUCCAACCGUUGGAUCAUAAUGAAAUUUUAGGAUGAUGUUUUAGAAGCAUAAUGUGGAUCUUUGGAAGUUACUGAUCGGAAAUCCGAGGAGUGAAUCUUCCGAAUUGAAUUACGUAGGGUUGUGGACCUUACCGUCGAUCGUUGACCGAUGAUCGACUUUUGGUCAAUGGGGCUUAAAUCAAUCUAAAACGUUUUUAGGGAUGUGUUUUACGUAAAUUACAUGAUCUAUUGAUAAGAAUUAUGAGAUGUGGUUUGAUAAUUGUCCUAGGUGCCGAUCGUUAGGAACGCUUCGAUGGUUAUGCUAGGAAAUUGUAGCACAGACUCCUUGUGAGUGAAUCUUUUCCUUCUUAUCAUAUAUAUAUAUAUAUAUAUAUAUAUAUAUAUAUGAUUGACAAUUCCACAAACGUUUAUAAAUUGAUUAUUGCAUAUAACUACUGUGAAUACUUUGAAGUACUUAUGCGAACUACGAAUGGCUUGAUCCGUGUUUAGGGUACGUAGGCAGUCUAACAAGACGUUAGAUGUAGUCAUACAAUAAUUGAGAUUAAACAAUUGAGAUAAAGCCUUGUUUGGGGAACUGGGCAAGGUGAAGGAAUUUGGUAAAAAGGUGAGAUUUAACCUUAUGAAUUGGUGAUUAAAUGUUGGUCAUAAAUCAAUGUGUAAAGAAUCAAGAAUUUGAAGUAAGGAAACGUAAGUAAUGAUAAUUAAUUAAACUAGUGUCUAGUUGGGCUUGUCACCUAUAAUUAUCCCCGAAAAUGAAUAAUUCGGGAGUAGGGCGUUACAGCUUCUGCAUUUUUAUGCCACAUUAUAUAUAUAUAUAUAAUUGGAAAUGCUAUAACAUGGUUGAGUAUCAGAUUUCAUCAUGGUUUAUCUAUAUGUAUAUUACCUGCACACAAUUAUUAUGAACGCGUUGAAGUGCAAAGGUGAAUGCACGACACCCAGGUAAGUUCAGGUGAGUUUAUGGUAUUAGUUGAAAUGAUGGGGUUAUGGUAUGACUACAUGUAUGUUUAGGUUGCAAUGAUAGGCAACUCCAACACUGUCGUACAGGUUGCCCAUGAAUUGUACAUGUUACAAUAGAUACAGUUAGAGCUCAUAAACCUACACCCCGGUGUUAGUACUCCCGCUCGUGGCCAGGGCACAGUCCUUCACGUGAUGUUCACCUCCCGCACCUUACGCUCACCUUGGAUCCAAGGUAGGUGCACAAUCAUGUCGUACCACUAUAGGUGGUUCCGACUCGUAGAUGACCCGCGAUUAUUUGCACAGUCUUCACGUGAUUGUAGCACUUGAGCGUAUUUAUUUACACCCAGUUCUAUUGUACAGACCACUUUAGGUGGUUCCGACUCGUAUGCAGGUAUACUUAUUAAGCUAUGGAUAAGUCGUACAGGUCACUAGAAGUGACUCCGACUUAUGAGCUAGCAUAUGUGAUGAGCUAGCAUAUGUGAUGAGAUAAGUGAUGAGUUAGUAUAUGUAAUGAGAUAUGUGAUGAGCUAGCAUAUGUGAUGAGAUAUGUGAUGAGCUAGCAUAUGUGAUGAGAUAUGUGAUGAGCUAGCAUAUGUGAUGAGUUAGCAUAUGUGAUGAGCUAGCAUAUGUGAUGAGAUAUGGGUAAGUCGUACAUGUCACUAUAGGUGACUUCGACUUGCGUGCUAGUAUGGGUUAUUAAUCACAUGAUUAUUGAUAUUACUGAUGAGAUGCUGUGUUGUGGUAUAUUUAUGAUCUUUCUGGAAACUAUGCAAGUGUUGUAACGAGGGGUUAUAAUGAGGUGUUGUAACGAGGGGUUAUAAUGUUUUAUAUGGUUUCUGUUAAAAUUUUAUUUCUAGGGUCACUCACCCUUAUUUUGUUUUCACCCUCUAGGUUUUAUUAGCUGAGCUUUCUUAUCGUCGAAGAUUCGUGGCGAUUCUUAGUAUUGGAGAUUAUUUCGAGAGUACGAUUCUUAAUUCACUUUACUGUACUUGCUUAAGCUGUAACGUCACGUGUGAAGUGGGUUCAUUUCCGCUUACCAGCGCAUUCUGGUAUUUAGGCACUCUUAGGUUUAAAUUUAUUCACAUUUUUCCACAUCAUCAAACUUUAUGGCUUUGUCACUCUUUAGGUGUCGGCCAGCACAGCUCGAUUUGGAGUCCUAGUGGACAUUCCGGGUCGGGGUGUGUCACAAAUGAAGAGGAUGGUUGAACUUGUUAAGUUUCUUAAGUGUGUCUACUUGAAGUGUGUUGCUAAUAAAUAUUUUGUUGUAGGCAUAAUUUACUGAACAAUUAUGGAGGCAGAGAGAGAGAGAGGGAAUAUGCGGCAUAGAGAGAGAAGAGAGAGAUGUGUAAUUGUGAGGUGUGUUCUAUUCCACCCCAUUGUACCUUUAUUAUAUUAGUAGGGAAAGUUAAUUCCUUACCCUUUUAGGAUUACAACUCUAAUAGGAAAAUAUCUAGUCUAAGAGAUAUGAUAGAAUCUCAUAAGGAUAUCCUAGAUAUGUUAGGAUUUACACAAUCAUAUUCCUAUUCCAAUAAGACUGCAACACAUUUGUAUUUUUUUAGAAUUUUUUUGAUAAUUUGUUGGUAUUCUCAAUUUUUGUUAACAUUGAAAAUAUAACGGUUCAGAUGAAAAACCUUUGGAAAUCCAACAGCUUGCAAGACGUUGGGCUGUGCUGAAGGAAGCUGGGCUGUCACGUGGAUGGGGCCCUCCCUCUCCCUCUUGUUGAUUCAAAGGGCGCAGGCCCGUGCAACAAUUGGCGAGGCAGCCCAUAGAGAUCCUGCGAUUCACCCAUUCGCCAUUUUUUCCACCGCUGGAGCACCAAAAUUCGGUCAAAAGGCAGGGGUAUCAAUGGCAAGGGCAAUUUGGCUUCCGCUGGAGGUGCUCUUUGUCGACUUUGUUUUUUCUCUCAUUUUAGCUUUUGCAGUAAUAUUGAAGUAAUCACUCCAAUUUUAUCCAAACUUUUGUUGUCCGUCAAUUUUUAUCAAAACUAUUGGUUAAUUUACAUAUUCAGACUAACCUUCUCAUUAUUUUUAGUAUUUUUAUCAUAAAUAAUAUCUGAAAUAGUCACAUUUUAUUCAACAACCACUCAAUUAAAAAUUAAUUAGUGUUGUUUCUAAACCAUUACAUCAAGCUUUUGUAGAUACACAUCAAUAUUGCAGCGAUCCGAGGCAUUGUUUUAGUGACGGUAGUACUUUCUACUCCUUGGAUUUGGUGAAUCGGAAAAGAGAAGAGUUACGAGUAAAAGUCCCUCGCAUUGUUUUGGGGAGAUGAAGAUGAUGAUCUUUUGUUUUUGUUUUUUAAUGAUUAAUCCACGCAGCAACAUAUAAUUAAAUUGUUGGGAUCUACUCAAGUUCCAUAUCACACACUAACAUAAAAUUUGACAAACGAAACGAAAUAUGUGUGUAGACAUCGAAAUUUCGUAAAUAAAUGUUGACCGAUAAAUCAAAGUGUCAACGCUCAUGUAUUACAUAAAUUUUACACGUAGCGUGUGACUCAACGAAAAUUGAAAUGAGUUGGAAAAGUCAUCAAAUAGGACACGUGUCAACACCUGGCAGAAACGACUUAUUUCAUCUGGGAUAUUAUAUUCAAAAUUAGCCAUUGGAAAAUUCUAUAAAUACAAGCCCAUUUCAUUCAUUUAAGGAGAGGAAUUCAUAUUACACCUUGAAGCUCUGAAGCUCUGAAACUCCGAAGCUCUCAAGCAUCCAGGUUCCCGAAGAAUCAAGAAAGUGUUCUUCGUUCUUCGUUCAUCGUUCUUCCAAGAUCAAGCCUCGACGGCCCUUGGAUCAACAAUCAUCCACCUUCAAGAUCAAGCCCCGACGGCCCUUGAAGAAAGCGUUCUUCGUUCUUCGUUCAUCGUUCUUCCAAGAUCAAGCCCCGACGGCCCUCGGAUCAACAAUCAUCCACCUUCAAGAUCAAGCCCCAAAGGCCCUUGAAGAACUUCCACCAAUUCAAGAUCAAGCCCCGACGGCCCUUGAAGAAAGCACCAUCGUUCAUCAUCCGUUCAUCCAAGAUCAAGCCCCAACGGCCCUUUAGAUCAACAACGUCGACAAAUCCACACAUCCAACCGUUCUUCAAGAUCAAGCCCAAAAGCCCUUGAAGAUCCGUUCAUCACUGUUCUUCAAGAUCAAGCCCAAAAGCCCUUGGAGAUCCGUUCAUCACUAUUCUUCAAAGAUCAAGCCCAAAAGCCCCUUUGAAGAUCCGCUCAAAUCCACCUUCAAGAUCAAGUCCACGGCCCUUGAAGAACGUUCAUCCUUAGAUCAAGCCCAACGCCCCUUUGGAUCAAUCGCACAUCCACAAAUCAACACCUUACGGAGAUCGAAUCAGAGGAUCAAAAUAGAGAGAGAUUGUAACCCAAAAUCAUCAAAUACAAAUAUUUGUUUGUGCGCGUUGUUCUUGUCUCUUUCGUUUCAGGAAUUUUCCGUGUUCACAAUGUGCUCUUGAAAUCAAAAUGAGGGCACUGCUCCAAGAACAAGAAGGGCACCUUGUCGAGGUCGCCAUCCGCCGUGAGGGAAAACCGGAAGAAGUUGGACAACAAUGAUAACAUCAAUUUGCGGCACCCAUAUCGGGACAUCACACUGUGAAAUAAAUAUUGAAAUAAAUACUCAAAACUCCUGGAAAGUCCUCGAGACAACAAACUUUCAUCUCCUUCAAACAUUUCAUUUUACUAAGUUUUAUCUUUGAAGGGAGGGAAAAAAAGAGAAGAGAGAAUCCUACUCCUUAUUCCUGAAUAUAUUCAAGAAUAGCUAUUGAAUAAAGAGAGAAUGGAGGGUGAUCGAAAGAGGAGGGAAGAGAAUUCUAGUUCCAAACAUAAAAAGGACCACAACUUUUAAAUUAUCAGCACAAUCAUCACCUAAUUGAAGAGACCAUUCACUGUGAAACAUAUUGUCAAUCAGUCUAUCUAUAUCUAUUUAUAUACCAUAUUUUUAGAGUAAGAUUCUCUCACCUCCUAUUACCAUCCCCUUCCAUCCUUUCAUCUCAUACUCUUUUUUUGUUGUCUUAUUCUCUAUAUAAAAAAAUUCAAAACAAGAUGUAUACGUGACGUAAUCGUAACCGUUUAAAUAAGAGGGGAUAGAAGAGAAGAGAGAUUAGGAGAAGGGAGAAUCCUACUCCCACAUUUUUCUUCUUCAUAAACAAAAGAGAGGUUCUAGAUUACUUGACUCUAUGCCUCAUUUUUUUCAUCAAGUAUUUGUGAUAAGUGGGUUCAUUUUCAAGUAUUUUAGUUUUUUUGUCAAAAUUGAGAAAACUGAAAAUCAAACAUUAAUAUGAAAAAUUAAAAAAUCAACAUAUAAUUAUUUAGAAAUCGCAAUAGAAAAGAAAAAAAAUGGAGGUUUGUGAUGAAAAAUCUUUUAUACUAAGUAAUUUAGUAUCCUUAUGCAUGAAGAUAAAUCAAUUUGUUCGUUACGGUCAUACUCUUUUUUGAAUUUUUGAACACAUUCUCCAUAGGGCCUUCUUAUAUGUUCCUUCUCCAAGCUCGGGUUAUGGAAGAAGUAAAAGAAGGAAUCGAAAAGAAAGUAUUGGUAACAACCGAUUUCAUUACGAGACAACUCUUGAUAUUCAUAUCAAUCUAUUAUGUACCUUUGCAUCUAGCAUUAGACAAUAAUUGUCAUAGCUUUACCAUAUUUUUUUGUUUCAUUUCUUCUGAAACAAUCUCACACACUUUUUUAUUAUGUGUCUACUACUAGGAAUUCAAUACGUAAUCUUAGCAUUCAAUAGUUAUUCCUAAAUAAUUUCAAUUUUCAAAUGAUCAACCAUUUCAUUUUACCAAGUUCAAUCAAUGUUAGUCAGAUUAGUCAACAUUUAUAUAUUUUGAUGCAACAACAAGAUGUUAUUUGUAACAAGUGAUUUUGUUAGUUGGUUAAUUGGUCACAAGUUAAUGUUCGGUUCAGUUUAGUUUUUCUCUCGAUUUUUUGUGAUUCGGUUUUUUCAAUUCUCUUUAGGGUCGGUUCGGUUUUGUUUUUUUAUUUAUACUUGAAUUUUAUUUUAAUUUAUUUUAAUUUAUUUUAUUUUAAAUCUGGAAACACCAAGAACAACACAAGCACAUAGUCAAUCAAACAACUAUCCUUCUCCACAAAUCAUAGUAAUAAUUACAUUCAUUGAGCUGAAAUGCAAAUAACUAACAAACUCACAAAAAUCAAAUAAAAACUACAAAUUGCUUACUCUUUUUCUUUGGGUUUCACUCGAAAAGUGUCGGUAAAAUUUAGGGUUUGCAAGAACGCAACUGAAAUCUAAAACGGAGGCCUUGUGGCCUAUGGGUUGCUAUUGAGUUCCAGUACAGAGAACCUUGCUUAAUCUCGAUCACGGUACAAAGUAUCGAGUACCUUUAGCACUGUAUUUUGGUAUGAUUGGUAGAACCAAAUUAAAAGCUAACAUCAACAACAACUACCAGAGACAAAAGCUCUUAUCAAUGCUUUGGAAACAUUUAUGUAUCUCCAAGUGUAAUGAUAUAAUUGGUUGGAAACUUGUGAUUUCGUAUCAAAUCAAUAAAAAGUUACAAUAUUGACAAUAUAUUAGCAAUUUUUAUGUUAAUUAUGAACAAGUCAAUCAUGUAGAACCAAAUUAAAAGCUAACAUCAACAACAACUACCAUAGACAAAAGCUCUAAUCAAUGCUUAGGAAACACAGUCCUGUAUCUCUAGGUGUAUUGAUAUAAUUGGUUGGAAAUUUAAAAGAAAAAUGGUGAUUUUGUAUAAAAUUGAUAAAAAGUUACAAUAUUGACAAUAUAUUUGACACACCCCGACCAAGAUCAAGGCAUGCUGGCCGUCACAUGAGAGUGACGUAACCAUGUGCACAGUGCGGAAGCAAUAAUGAUAAGAAAUAUAUGAAUAAUUAAAAACCGAAUCUACUAGAGUGCACUACUAAACAGGAAGUAUUAGGAGUAAGAUACAAAAGUAAAUACUCCUAAUCAGAGCAUAGAAAGUCUAGGUGCAAUCCAGUAGGACAAGUACUAAUUAUACAGUAUAAAAUGUCUUACAAUUAUUUAGAUAGGUCAGAACCGCCGAAGUCCUCACACCCAACAACUGCAAACUUACUUAAAACCUGAAGGGGCGCAAAAUAGAAAACGUGAGUGGGAAAAAACAAAUGUUUUACAAAACCAUUUCAUUUAUCAAUAUAUCUAACCCCUCGCUGUAAACAUGUAUAAUUUUUCCCAGAAUCAAGAUAUAAGCAUAUACAUAAAUAUAUAUAUAAAUAUAUCAAUUCAAAUCAUGCUUCACAUAAUCAUAUUCAUAUGUAUGUCAUGCCAAGAUAUAACAGAGUAAGCAACUCAGGUAAGAGUAAUUUCAUAGAAAUAUAACAUGUUAGCCGGAACCCCUGUAGUAGUCUGUACGGCUGAAUUCAUAGCUCAAAAGUCAAUCUAGCCGAAGUCACUACAAUGACCUAUACGGCAAUAUACUGCACAAGAGUCGGAACCAAAUGAAAAGAUCUGUACGACAAUAAUGGGUGUUGUUGAUGCACAAAAUCAGUGAGGACUUUGGUACAACAGAAAGUGUUAAGUUUGUGACAUUCUCUAGAUUACUCCGAUCACUAGUGUGGAUAAGUAUGUAAAUGGAUAAAGACAGGGAAGCAAACACAAGAUGUACGUGGUUCACCCAGAUUGGCUACGUCCAUGGAGUAAAUGAGUUCUUAUUAAUUGUGAAGGGUUUACACAAGUAUAUAGGUUCAAGCUCUCCUUUAGUGAGUACUAGUGAAUGAUUUAGUACAAAUGACAUUAGGAAAUAUUGUGAGAGAAUGAUCUCUAUUUAUAGAAGAGAGUUUCUAGUUUCAUUCUGACAUUGACACGUGUCAUGUUGUGAUUGGCUUCUGAUGUUGACAUGUGUUGCACUAUGAUUGGCUUUAGAUGUCAACAUGUGUCGCGUUGUGAUUGGCCUCCUGGUUUGAGGGAAACUCUUCUGGCUCCUUGACGGUAUAACGUUGAUCGAUGCUCAGUAGUUUCGGGAUUGGUCAAGUAUGGUACAAACAGGUGUAAUAUAAUCAUACUCAAUACUACUCUCACAUAAUAGCUGGGUGAUAAAUCGCUAGUCACCUAUGAGUCAGAACGAUAAUAAAGGUCUGUACGAAGACUGUGCACCUAAAUUGGAUCCAAUAUGACCAUAUGGUGCGGGAUGUGACAUUAUAUACAGGCUUGUGCCAUCACUGGCGGAGCUACACCCACGGCUACAGUAGGCUGUAGCCUAGGGAGGAUUUUAACAAACUGCUGGUAUAAUAGUUUAUAUAUGAGUUUGUUGUUGCUUAUUGUAUGUAUAAUAGCCCACAUAAAUCCUGCCAAAAUUAUUAGUUAAUGUGUUUCUUAAUUUAUAAAUAAUACUUUUAUUACCUUUUAUUAUUUUAUUAUUUUUAGGCUAAAAGUAAAAAUGGUAAAUUAAUACAUAAUUAGGUUUCUCCUAUUCCCCAUGCUUUUUACCUAUUCGUUCAAAACAAAAAAAUUAAACCCUCUACCCUAAGAAAAGAAAAACUAUGAAUCACCAUCAAAUUAUUUUCUAAUGAAAUUCAACACUAGAUAUGCUCUUCAUGUCUUCAUUUAACCUAUUUCUUGAUUCAAUUGUUCAUUCCAUAUAUCUACAGCACGACUUGAAUUGGUAUCCCCUAACCUUUUUUCUUUUGGGUACUUGUUAUCAACAAAAGUGAUAAUAUUUGUUCUCUUUCUAUUGCUUUUUUGUAUGCAUGUUUUAUUUGUGUAAAAAUUAGUUGGAAAGUAAUUAAUAAACUUGUUUGGAUUAUUAGUACUUCAUGUUCCUACUUUUAUGUAGAUUACUAUAUAAUUUUAUGUAGGCAAAAAAAAAAUUCAUAAGAUUAUAUGCUAAUGAUUUUAGUUAGCCCACCCAAGAAAAAUUUUCUGGCUCCGCUAUUAUGUGCCAUAACUCUGGCAAAAUCACAAUCACCCUAAGUGCAGUUUUAUGAGUUCAACGUUAUUCUAUCACAUAUCACAUCAUCGAUAAUUCACAUAACCAAACAUAACUCACAUGAGCUUACCUGAGCGUCCACAGUACCAUAAUUAUAUAUAAUGCAUCAUAUACGAAAUAUAAAUUCAUAUGCAUGGCAUUUAAGGUAUACUUUCAUUUAAACACAUAUUUCUGGGAAAAUAUCAAGUAUAUAAAUAUAUACUGAAAACCAAAAGCCCACUCAUUGGUAUGUCGAAGGGUCGUAGCCCCCGAGUCGCCUUUGAAUACUCUCGUCCUCGUGAUAAGUCUCACCUAUAUGCGAAUUAACUAUAAAAACGUUAUUUUAGAGCACAUACAAAAAAUUAGCUAAUAACUCUCAUACAAUGCUCAAUUUUUGUAUUUGAAUAUAUCACAGUGACCUACACAACCUCAAGAUCAUCCCUAAAUUUUUACAAUAUUUUUCUGACCCCUCACGCGCUGCCACGCACCGGCAAGGGCAACGCCUUACUCGCCCCCACGCGCGGCCACGUGACAAGCAUACUGAUGGCGUCAAUCAACAUCAUCAGGAAUAUUCUAGGGAAUAUUCUGUUAAAACCCAAUGGUAACUGUUAAAGAUGACUGACGGCAUGAGCAUAUUCUGUCAACCUUGACGGAAUAUACUCCUUUCUUCUCCGAUGAGUCGUCGGUCGCCGGCGACUUCGCCGAUUUCUUGGUAAAACUUUAAAUCGCUUAUUCUUCUUCGUUUCUUCGCCAUUUUUCAUGAAAUUGGUACCAAAAUGAAGCUAAUAACAUGUAGAAUCACUUUGUAUAAGUUUCAAGGCUUAAAAUCUACUAGUUUUUCCCUGAGAAAGCUCGAUAGUUCGGCUUACCUAGAUAUGCGUCGAUCUCAGCCCUCCGACGUCCAAUUCCUUCCAACGAAGUACCCCAAGACUCGUGAGGACCUCCUUAAGCUUCCUAUAAGCUUCAAAUUCCCUGAAACACAAGAUUUUACGUAUGCAUGAACAAUGCACAAAGUCGGAGCUAGGGUUUCCACGUGAAAUCGAAGGUUUCCUUACCUGAAAAUGGUUCCUUUGAAUUCGUAUGGUUCUCACGAACACAAUGGUGAUCUUAAAACCUUCGAUCUACAAGGUUUAAGAGGGUUUCUGGGUUGGUCCGUACGAAGAAGGGAGAGAGAGAAUGAGAAUCUGCGAGAGAGAGGGCACGGGAAGGAAAGAGAAAUAAGAUAGGUGUGUGUAUGGUCCAAAAGCCACCAAUCAAAACUAAGAAAAGUCUUAGUUGUAAUUGGGUCACCAAUCUAAAACAAUUUAACCCAAUAAUAACUUACACACAUCAUUUAACAUCCGAGGGUAAUUCCGUCAUUCUACGUCAUCGAGAAUAAUCUUCCGGGACGGGCUGUGACAAUAUCAGCAAUAUUUAUGUUAAUUAUGAAUAGGUCAAUCAUGUAUUUAAUACUUAAAUGUAUUUAAAAUAAACACCUUAUCAAUGUUUUCUGAACUGUGCUCGAUUUUUCUCCUUCGCUUUGGUUCUGUCCCAUUGGAUUUUUCAAGCAAGAUUUUAUCAAGGCAACUAUCAUUAACUGUGAACAUAAUUUAUCAUUGAGACACGAACAUCCAAGGGGGAGUGUCGUGGAAAAAAAUGUAGAUAUCUUUAUACGUUGUAUGGUAGUAAACCAUCAUAAACACCAUAAAUAUGUAGAAACGCCCUUGCGGUACCUUUGAAUGAUAACUCAUGUAUUUGUUGCCCUAUGUAAAGAUGGCUAAUGAUAAUGGAAGACUAAUUUUCUCAUCCCAAUCUCUCCUGUCUCUCUUAUUCUCUUUUCUCUAUAUUUUAUUUCCAACAAGUUGUGUUUUUUUUUUAGUAUUGUUAAGCAACCCAAUAGAUUUUAAUCGUAGUCUUUGUUUUUUUUCUUUUAUAUUUUUAAUCAAUUUCAGUUGCUUAUCAGUUCUAGCUAAUUGAGCUCUUUUACAGCAAUUUUUUUCUUUAAAUAAAAUUAUUAUUAUUAAAAAGAGUGAGAAAAUUCGAAAUUGUUACAAUAAUUUAAAAAAAAUAGGAGUUUCAAAUCAUGAAGGUAGAGGGAGUUAACAACAUUUUAGGGGGGGGUGUAGUCAAACUAGGAUUUUGAAGGAUUUUAAAAGUGAUAGAUUUGAUAGGAUUUAAGAUGAUUAAAGACUCUUACAAAAUUCAUAUGGAUUUUAAAGAAUAUGAAUGGAUUGCGGUGGAUUGUGGGGGAAGGAUUUGAAAUCCUAGGGGGUGAGGUUUGAUUCUUUUUAGUUUUGGUUAUAUAUGGUAUGCUUUCAAAUCCCAGAAAAUCCACAACUUUUUAAAAUCCUUUAAAAUCUUAAUUUUUUUAAUACACUUAGAUUUGGAUGGAUUCUAAAAUCCUUUAAAAUCUUUUAAUUGACUACACCUAGAUUUGAAUGGAUUCUAAAAUCUUUUAAUUGACUACACCUAGAUUUUAAUGGAUUCUAAAAUCCUUUAAAAUCUUUUAAUUGACUACACUAUGAUUUUAAAGUCUUUAAAAUCCUCUCAAAUCCAAGUUUGACUACACCCCCUAAAGAUUUUAAGGAAAACUAAUGAAAAUGGCUUGAAAACUUUGAGUUUUAACUAGGGGUGGGCAAACGGGUACAGGAACCGCGGGUAGGGGUGGGUAAUUCAAGUUCGGGGCAGGUAUGGGACAUGUCCAAUAUUUCUAAACACAAAACGGGGCGAGGCUGUUCGGGUAUAUGAAAUUAUCGGGGCGGGGCGGGUCUUAAAAUAGAAGGGAACGGGCCCCCAGCCUGACCCGUUUCUUUUCCUCAUCCCUAGUCUUCUCUAUCUCUCUUCCCCGACACUUUUCAUUUCACUCAAACCCGGCCCAUUUCUUUUCCUCAUCAGUCAUCCCUAGUCUUUUCAAUCUCUCUUCCCUAACUCCUUUCAUUUCACUCGUACCUCGAGACCUCCUCUUAACUCGCUCCCAGCCUCCCACCGUCCUAGCUCCGUACCUCGCCAUCAUCAUCGUCAGACCUCCAUCUCUCCUGAUUUACUCAUGUCUUCCUCGCUGCGUCCGCCGCCAUGUCUCUCUUUCUGUGACGAACUUAAAGGGACGGACGAAGUUGAACAACUCGAAACGACGCCUCUUCUGUCUGAAUUAGACCCAUAUUUGCAGCGCACGACUCUGCUCAUAGUCCUCUUCGGUUUUAAGGUAUUACGUUUUAGAGAUUUAGGAUUGAAAAUUAAAUUAGGGUUUUCUAGAUUUAGGGAUUUUGUUGGGUUCUUGAACCUUGACCUCUGUUAUGUUCCAAUUUCAAAUAUAUAUUGAAUUGAAUUUGAAUCGACUGUGUUUGAAACUUCUGUUGAAUUAAAUUGAAUUUGAGCAGGAGAAGAGGCAGAUGUGGGUUGGGCAAUGUCGAAUCUCAUUGUGGGUGGUGAGGUGGGCAUGGCGGGCGACAAUAUUGACUGGCAAUGGUACGGGCGGUGCUAUUAAGUUGCAGAAGAAUACGAAGGAGGGGGUGUGGGCAUGGGUGGAUAUCGCAAGCUCAAUUGAAUUUUUUCUGGUUUUGUUUGUGAUUAAUUGCUUGUAUAUGAUAGUUAUUGAUGGAUCUUGACAUGCCCAUUUAAUUGUUAUUGGCAAUGCUAGUUUGAUUGUAACAAAUUCAAACCGAUUGAAUUGUAUCCCAGAAAAAAAAAUCAAUAAAGGAACUGAGGACCCGGCCCGAACCAGCCCAUUUCAACCGGGCCAGGUUAGGUUCGGUUCUUAUAUUAGAAAAUGUUGUUCCCGGCCCGUUUCUCUUAAGCCCGGAUCCAGUCCGAUCACUUCGAAAUUGGCCCCAACCCGGCCCGGGCCCACCUCUAGUUUUAACGAUAAGGACAAAAUAAAGGGUAAAGUGAAUAGUACCAAGUUUGACUUUUUAGUGUAAAAAUGUAAUUUUUCGUUAAAAUAAGAUUUUAAUGGAUUCUAAAAUCCUUAAUUAAGAAAUUAGGCUUCAACCCAACUCAUCUUUGCAACGCCGGUUCCACUUCACAUCAACAGGCAAUGUUUUCUCCUCAACAAAUAGUAUUCUUUUAUGAGACAAAGACUAAUGAGGGUGAUAUAUAUAAUUAAUAAUAAUACUUGUGUUCCCUUUGUGAGUGAAUGCACUUAUUUUACCAUUCUCUAAUAAUGUAUCUUUAUUAUAUAAAUUUAUAUCAUGUGGAUAUCUUCCUAUAAAAAAGUUAUUCAAAUUGGAAAUCCUUACGUCAUCAAAAUAUAUAAAAAAAUGGACGAUCUCAUCGUAAAUAUGUUAGUUACUCACACUAUAACUUUGUAUAUUCCCUCACGUAGGAAACGCAAUAAUUAUCCUCUAAUUAAUUCUUCUUGAGAGUAGAAUUUUUAUUGUUGGUUUUUCGCAACCUUCAGACCUAAAGCUGAUAUGGACCUCUCAUUGUUUUUUGGGUUGCCGUUCUUAUUUUGCUUGGUCCUUUUACCUUUUCUAUAGUUGUUUAUCUAGUUCUUUUGAGCCUCGUACUAAUUUUUAAUGUAAUGAAAAUUAUCUUCGUGAUAAAAAAAAAAAUCAUUAGUCCUCGUAUGAACAUGCGAUGUAACACACUUUCAUGGAACAACAGAUGAUAAAGACGAUAUCCAAAUUUUCUCUGUGUUAUGUGGACUUUCCCAACCAAAUAAAUAAUAACCAAUAAACAAAUAAAUAAGAGUUUAACUUCAAACAUUGAGAAGCGAAAUUCCAACACUACGAGCCUAACUUUUGUCUUCAUCAUCAUCAUAGACUAGUCUCCUAUCCAUCAACUCCUACAUCAAUUUUUUUUUUUACUAGAUUGUAGCUCACUUUCAAAAGAGUUACGUAAAGUAUUUAAGCACCAUAAAAGAAAAUUAAACGACAACGAUUGACAUAAUAUUAGUAGUAUCAUGGUCUAAAAUAUUCAUAAUAUCUUGAUAUUUUUAUUGAAAUUUUCGUGUUUUUAGACUACCUAUAUUUUCAAUAUCAUCGAUAUUUUAAACCUUGCUAAGUCACUCAUGUAUCUUACCAUGCAAUGUAUAAAGUGUAAAAUAUUGUACUAAUUCAUUAUAUAUAAAUGAUUAUAGUGUGUUUAAACUUCUUUCAUUAAUUACUACAUAUUUUCUACACUCACAAUGUUUGCCAGCUCGCUAUAUAAUCAACUUAAAUCAAUUAUAUCUAUCAUGUAAUGCAUUUCCUUCCAAUUUUUUGUGAUAAACUAAUAGAUAAUUGACUAAAUAAACAUCCUGCAAAGUUUCAAUAAAAAUUUCCAAGUUUUUCUUACAAUUUCCGUAGUUUUUAUUCAAUUUUUAUCGAUAUCGAUAAUAUCCCGAUAUUUCCAUCGAAAUUUCCGUAUUUUUAGACUACUGAUAUUUCCGAUAUCAUCGAUAUUUUAUACCUUGGUAGUUAUACAUUUUAUCGGCCUCAUUUUUAUGCAACUUAUACAUUAAAUUAUUGUCAAAAUGUACAUAUAAAGUAGCUGAUCAACGAUGAGAUUUUAGGCAACCAUUUUCUUCUACGACGUCAAAGGUUGUAGAGGUGGCCAUGUGCACUACAUGCGUAAAUCAACUAGGGACUUGGAUCCUCUCUUAAGCCCAAGGAGAGGAUCCUCCUAACCAAAUGACUUGGAUUGUUGGAUGAAAAUCUAACGAUUACAAACAGAUGAUCUCUUUAAAGUUAUAAUAUUUAUUACCGUUGAAUUUUCAUCAAACGGUCAAAUAUCAUUGGUCAAAAGGGUCCUCUCAUUGGGCUCAGAGAGGACCCAAGUGCAUCAACCAGAACUAUUGCUAUUAUAACAAUUCAUGAAAUCAAUUAAACAAUAAUUUUCCUUCUGGCAGGCAUGUUAGUUAUUUCUUAUUUGGCCAAUUGCCUAGUGGAUUUGGUAGAUUUAACCUCUCCACCACAAACACAUUUAAAAAUUUCCAGAAAUCCGUAACGUAAAAUUUAAAAAUAAAUAUUAAUAACAGCAAGUUCUUUUCACCGACCGUGACCGAGAUCUGUCACAUAUCCAAAAUGUCACCUCCUUAUCGCAAAAACCAAAUUUGACUUGGGAUAAAUACCGUGUACAAAUUAAACGCGUUUCUCUAGCUUUUGCGUAAAGAGGCAACCCAACACUAAACUAGGAAAACGUUGGGUUGACAAAGAUACCAUGAAGAAUAAAGGGGUUAUGCAAUCCACUUUGCAAGAUAAUCAAAGUUUCCCGUUGUAGACUUGUCUUAACCCAACACUAAACUAAGAAAACGUUGCUUUCCCGUUGUAACAUGAAACAACAUUAAACAACAUUAAACAAUAUUAAAUAACAUUAAAUAACAUAAAAAUUAUACAACAUAAAAAAAACCAUUUAACAACAUAAAACUUAAAAUGCGUACUUCUUGCUUCUUGUGGCCUAAAGAUGUGCAACAAGAUCUUGAUGUAGGUACUUGUUUGUGGCACGAAAACGUAUCAUCCUAGCCGUUGGAUUUGAAUUUUUUUUGUUUUCGGCCAAAAAAUUUUAAAUUUAAAAGUUGAAGAUGGUGAGAAAUAUGAUCCUACACUGUUCAUUAAAAUAUUAAUUUCUUGAAUGACCAAAAGGCUAAAACAAGCCAUCCUUCGGUUGGAGAUGCCUAAGGAGAGACUAGAGAUAGAGAGUUUCCUAUAUAUGAUUUUCAUUAACAAGAUUGAAAUGAUUUCAGAGAGAAGAUCAAGUAUGGUUAUUUUUAUUUUGUAGAGUGUAGACAUUAUAACUAUACAUUCAUAAUAACAUGAGUAAUGUUAUAUUUAUCACAUUUGUACUCUUUCUCUGAUAAAGGUAGGGUUCAUCAACACAUGUGGGUUCUAUUUGCCCAUCAACACAUGCGGAUCUCAUUUUUAUUAGAAAAAUAGUACAAAUAUGGUACGGAAAAUAUGAUAAGAUCGCAAUUUUGUAAUAACAUAUAUACUCAACUAUUUAUAUACCGACCCAUCUCCUUUUAGUGUAGAUAAUAUCGUUUGUUAAAAAAAAUGUUGAACUUGUCAUAAUCAUUGAAUCCAUUUACCAUGAACAAACGGCAGUUUACUAAACUUGCCCUCAGAGUAUAUAUAAAAGGUGAAUCACAAUCUAUUGCAUUAAUAUAAGGAAACAAUUUAUAGGGUUUGACGGGUGACUUAAUAUGCUAUAUGGCACAAUGAAAAUUAAGUUCACACUUUAUCCCAAAUAAGGUGUUGCACCUUUAAUUUAUGGAUGCUGGUUUGACGUGUGACCGAAAUAAUCAAAUUGUAGCCAUUAAUCAUUUUACAAGUAAUAAUAUGUAGUUUUUACUGUUUACGAUUCACACAACAAUCUGCUAGGAAGUAGAAAAUGCAGUACUUGUCCCUCUCACAGAAGUCAUGAAUAAUUAUCAAAUUCAAAGAUAAAGAAAAACCACACAAUUUACAAGAGGAAAGAAAAUGAAGGGAUAAAGAAAGUAAGAAAGGAAUACCUCUAUGGGAGGACUCUUAUUUGCUUCAGAUGCCUACAAUAUUCAUCAUAUAAACACUGAUUAAGUAGUCAUCGAAAACCAAAACAAAUGUCGAACAUAGGGUGAAAAACAGAAAGAAUAACCGCAGCUCAUCAUACCAAUAGAGAUAGAACUGCCCGAUGCCCAAGUAUGACUGAAAAAUGGCAAUCCAAACAUGGCGCCUUCUAGCUCAUCAAACUGUCAAAACCUAGGUUCCACCAAAAAGAUACAAGUCACCUAGUUACUUGUAAAAUAAAAAUCUGUUUCAAAAUAGUGGAAAAUAUUAUUAACAUUGUUCAAAGUCCACAUUGUUGUACCUACCAAGAAACAAGAAGGAUUGUAUCUUAUCAUGAAAAAGAACAUAGGUACCUUUUCAAUUGUAAUUGUACAAAAAUGAGAGACCACUUCCGAACUUCUCUUGGAACUUCAAUCAAUUUCUGCCCACUUUUAAAUGCCUUGACAUACUUAAGCCUAUUUCUUUGAGCUUCAGUUUUGGCUUCUGAUGCCUUUAAAUUUCUUAAAGAUUCUUACCAAGUUUUACAAACUCACUUCUAUACAACCAUUUGUCAGUAUACAUACCAUUUUCUUUGAGCUUCAGUCUUUGCAACACCAAAACCCCCCAAAUAGACCCGGAAUUUUGCAAUGUGCAGGGAAUAUACAAAAAAAACCCUCCUAUCCAUCUAAAACGAAAUCAGAACCCAAACCACAAUCAAAAUCCGUAAAAUUAAUUUAGCCAACCCUAAAUCUAAUAAUUCUAACAAAUAUUAUAGUAUCAAUUGAGAGAGAAUUUGAGAAGAUACCUAGAGAUGAAAGGAAGAGCGUUUCCUCUGAUAGGGGUUCCGUGAAAGCAUCUGUUGACCAGAAAAGAAAAGGCAAAAAACCCCAAAUUACAUAUCAAGCAAUUAUAGAUAGAUCGAACCUUGAAAAUUGAAAUUUCAAACAAGAGAAAGGUUAUAAACUUACAACGAUCUGGGUGUUGGUUACUGGGUUUGGAUUUGGGUUUCUGAUAAGAGAGAGAAUCGUAUGAGGAACCGAUAGAGGAACUGCACCGGCAACAGAGAGCAACUGAUAUGGUGGAGAAUAGAGAUGGGCAAAAUAUCCCGGUUAUCCGCCCAUUUAAAGUUCACAGUUACGGUUAUGGUAAUUGAACGGUUAUGGGUACUACCCGUGGUUAUAACGGGUAUCUAUUGGUUAUGGGUAUUAUCCGCGGUUAUAACAGGUAUUCAUUUACCCAUUUAAUUUCAUAUAUGUAAAAUUUAUAAUAUUUUUAACAGUUAUAACGCGUUUUUGUAUUUGUUGCCAAACUUUUCGUAUACAAAAAAUUUGAAGCACAAGAAGCCAACAAGGAGAAAGAUCAAAGAGCUUACUUGAAGCUUAUGAUCUAUCCUGCGGUUAAUAGAAAGUACUGGUAUUAGUGUAGAAAAAUGUUUGUUUUUAGAAGCUUUAUUUUGUAAUCAUAUGAAUUAUAAUUAAAGACUUGCUUGGGUGUAGUAAAAAAAUAUCGUUUGUAAACUAUUAUUUCAAUUAUUAGAAUUGUAUGAUGACCUAAAUGAUUAAAAUAGAGAAAUGCAUGCUAAAAUGUAUUUAUAACAGUGUUUAAUUGUCAGAUUUUUUUUUUUUUUGUAAUUUUCAAGUUGUUAAAAAAAACAUGCAGAGAGGUGAAAAAAGGGAUUAAAAAAUGAUAAACGGGUUCAAAACGGGUAAACGGGUAAAUGAUUAUGGUUAAAUAGGUAAACGGUUAUGGGUAAAUGGGUACACGGUUAUGGGUAUGAGUAUAACCGUUUAUGCAAUUACCCAACGGGUAAACGGCUAUGUGGGUAUGAACAUAAAUGGUUAUGAGUAAAUAACCGCGGUUACCCGCCCGCUAUAACCAUUGCACAUCCCUAAUAGAGAACAUACGAGAAUAGCCGCUUGGAUGGUCAAUCCAAGAAGAGAAAAUCUUGCCACAAUCACGGUACUUGAAAAAAAAAACAAUUUUAAAGGAGGGAAACAAUCGCGCCUUUUUUUUAAUAGACUCUGUCGACGAUAUUCUUGACAAAUAGUCGGGUGAGCUUAUUUUUCACAACAUUUUAUUUAGGACUAGGUUCGGUUGGCAAAUCGUGUCAAAUUUCUUGUGCCAUUUGCCAGCCACAUAUACAUAAUUACCAAAAAUCAGUUACCGUUCGCCAACCAUCUUCUUGCGGUUGCCAAAAAUCGGUUCAACCAAAAUGAUUGGCUGGUUCGGUUGGUAAAUGGCACAACCGGUGGUUUCCACUUCUUCCUCGCUAUCUUCUAGUUGCAAGGGCUCAAUUUGAUUUUCAGAUUGGGAUGCUUGUUCGGUUGCAUUGUGUGGUUCAUUUUGGGUUAAUCCAUGUUGUGCACUAGCAAUUAAUUGGCUAGACUCCAUCAUCCUAAACAUAAGCAACACAUAUACAUUCAAAAUCAUAUAUAUGUACGUGUAUAUAUAGUAUCAGUAAUCAUCAUGUUAUCAAUUUUGUUAACAAUAUUUUCUAUAUUGAUUAUGGCAUGAAUCAUAUACAUAUACAUAUAUUUUUUAAACCCUAAAACUAAGGAGUUAUUUAUUUUCUAAGCCCUAAAAUUGAGGAGUCAAGCAUGUAAAAAAAUACUUAAAAUAUCUAAAUAGAAAAAGAAAAAAAAAAAAAAAAAUAUAUAUAUAUAUAUAUAUAUAUAUCGGUAGGUAUGGCAUACCGCCGACAUACAAAAUCAAUUACCAAAGCCAUGCCAUUAAUUGUCGGUUCGGUAAAAUGCCAACCGAUUAUGAAAAAAUGCCAAAACUAUACCAUACCAUUUUGAGCCAACCGGUAUGGUUCGGUCGGUAAAUCGGCUUAUGGCAAAAUUUCUCACCCCUAAUUUUAUUUGUCGCCUUAAACCUAUUGGUUUCUAGCCUACAAUUUGGAUAUUUUGUUGGGGAAAGAUUUUUGUACCAAUAAAAUUUUGCUUUGUCAGCUUAGGAUUUGUCGGCAAAAUGACAUUUUCUAGUCGUUAUAAUAUUAGGUAGAUCAAAUUUGUAAACUAUGUGAUGUGUCACCAAUAGGAAAAAAAUUCAGUGUGCUGAAAAUACAGUCUAGAACACCAAGUGUCAUAAUAUAUACUUGGUUGGAAAUUUUUUAUUUUCAAGUUUCCAACUAAUUGUAUUGUAACAGUUGGUGUUCCAAGCUAUUUUCUCGAUGCGUUGGAAAAUCUCUUCACCAAUUAAAAAUAAACAUAUUAAUUAACACUUAAGUAAUAAUCAAAGUAUCAACAACUACGUCAUAAAAUUUACGAAAUAUGAUCUUAAUUAAUGAUCUCCAUGGCAUUACCCUUUAUCUUAGCGUAUACGUACGCCUUCACAUGUUUAUUUGCUGAUAUGCAGCUUGAGUAAAAAUUUCUUUUUAAGAACAUAUAUGUGAAUAUAAACAUAUAUAUCUAGUGAUCCAUGUUGCGUUAUUUAAAAAUAAACAAAUUAAUUAAUUAAUAAAUGAACUGUGUGCAUGUCUGUGUAGAGUAAUCCAUAUGCAUGCUUGAAUCCUGAUCACCACGAAACCAUAAUAUAAGCUACUCAAGGCCCGGAAGCUAGGAUUGAAGAGAAAAACACCCAGUCAGAUUAAGCCAAUAUAUCAAAGUUAAUACUUCGAAAUGUAAGCUUUAAGAUAGAAAAAUCACUUACUACCUUGAGCAGUCGAGCUUCUUCAAUGGCAUGAAGCUUUUAGCAUGAGAUUGACUGCAUCACAACUAAAAUUUUCUCUUGGAAACUACAUAAGGAAUAGCAUGUAUACCUAUAACGUUGAGAAAGUACGCCAAUUUUUUCCUUCUGCACAUUCAUGUUUAAAAGUAAUCCUCAAAUGAACUUGCCCACAAUGAAAUGCAAUUUGAGGUAGUCGAGUGUGUUCCAUUUCCAUUCCAUGGGAAUUACUACUAAACUUUGAGAUGGUAAAGGAUUCAUGAAAUUUUUUACUUUUGAGAUAGCCUCUUUAACAUUUCUCGACUAUAACAAUGAGGGAAUACUUCACCUUGUAUCAAACAAGGGAGAGCGAAAAUCAACUACUAAUAGCAUCACAGAGCCAGCAGAAGAUUGAGGAGGCCAUGAAGAGGAGAGAGAAAAUACACUCUUUUUUUUUGUAAGGACAGAGAUAAUACAUUCAGUAAGGGGUACUGAUGUUUAUAUGCAAUGCUGAUUAGGUUUAAAUAGUCCUAUUUAUUCUGUACAGUGCCAAUAUUACCACCCGUUAGUACACUUUCAAGACACUGUACUCCAGUGUGUGCGCUAUGCAGUACGUAGUACUCCUCAUUUUUUGGGGAAAUUCAUUAUUGGUCUUCAUAUCUUCUUUAUUUUCCUUUUCCUCAUUGUGCCACGUGUUUAAAUCACUAAUUGUAGGUAAUCUUUCAAUUUAAUUAAAUCUUAUGUAAAAAAAGAUAUUUAAAUAUCAUUUAGUAUUACAAGAUAGUGAUAUUCCUCUUUAGUAUAAAAUUUUUAUAAUUAAAAGCGUUCAGUUUUUUAAUCUUCAUUUGAAUACUAUCUAUAAAGAAAAAUUAUUCGAAUAAGAGAUCGUUUAUGCAUUCAAAUGUACAAAAUGCAUCGACAGUGUGAGAACGAAUUAAUAUAUUUUUGAUGAAGUACAAUUAUUGAAUACAUUUGAAUGAUCAAAUGAUAUAUGAUUCAAAAUACAUAUUAAGAUAAUAAAUAUAAGUGAAUUGUUAUUAGCACUCCAAGAAUCUUAUUAUACACUCUAAAUUUUCUAUAUUUUGAAUGAAAAAUAAAUUUAUGAAGAGUGUAGAAUGAGAUUUUUUAAUGCUAAUAACACUUCUCUAAAUAUAAUUAUGAAAUUAAUAAAGUAAAGAUACAUGACCUCGUGAAUGAUGUAUGUAUUAUUCAAAAAAUUAUUAAAAACAAAUUGAAAAAGGACGCUGUUGUUGCCACCACUUAUGCAAUGAUCGUCGCUGCCAUCACCAACCCCCAACACCCCAUUACAGCUCAUAAAAGCACAUCAUAAGCAAUUUAUGAAAUAAAUUUACUGGAAUACUAAUUUCCCCCUUAGUUUAGGUCACCAAUGUUUAAAUUUAGGGGUGUGAUAUGCACAUACCUUUUUUUGCUUCUCUCACACUUUUUUUGUUGUUGUCGAAUCAGAUGAAUUGAAGAAGAUCAAUUGACAGAAAUUAACAAGGGGUGUAUGAAAAGUAAAAAUGGAUGUGUAGAUAACACAUCCCUAAAUUUAUCACAACUUUCAUUCCAAAUUUAAUUUUUAUGCGUAGUUUUGUUUGUUCAAAUUUACUUUGACAUUUCAAUUAGUAUUAAAAUCUAAUUUAAAUUUUAGCGUUCAAGCUAGAAAAAGUGUUCCAUUUAAUAUUUAAUCUCAGUUUUUCUCUUUAUUCUUUUAUUCCGAUUUGGUUGCAUCGUAUCUCCAUUUUUCUCGGUGUUGUAUGUUCAUAAGGCCUGGGAAACGUUGGCACGGAGUGAAGGGUACUCACUUUUUGGCCCAAAAUGCAUAAGGCAUGUAGAUAUGUUAAUCAAAUUUUGUAAACUAAAGGAUAUAGAAGUUGAUACUUAGAUUAUAAUUUAAGAUAAUACUAAAGAGACUAAAUUUGCAAACUAAAUGAUGUGUCACCAAUAAAAAUAAGCACGUUUAUCAACGCUUAAGUAAUAAAUCAAUCAUCAACUUUCAUGUCCUUUAGUUUCCAAAAUUUAAUAUACAAAUUUAGUCUCCCAAGCAUUACUCUAUUACUUAAGUAUUGAUUAACAGACUUAUUUCUUAUGGUGACAUAUUAUUUAAUUUACAAAUUUAGUCAACCCAACAUUACUCUUUUGAAAUUGUCUUGUCCACUGAUAUAAUUCUAUUUUUCUUGUGAUCAAAACUUCAAAUGUUAGCAAGUCGCACGUAAAGUCACUUCUGAGAGAAUGUGCUCACAUUGUAGUUGAAAGAUUAUGUGGCUAGCAACAUUACAAAUUUAAUUUGGUAUAAUUUAAAAUAUAGAUUGAGGAAAAAAUGAUCACAUUAACUAGAAACUGAAAAGGUUUCAGCACAGUUUGUUCAAGCAAGAAACUCAAUUUUGAUGCUACCGAUCUUAACAGCCUGAGCGCCGUACCUGGGCACUAAAGUCACCACCACACUCUCAUCAUCUUCAGCACCCAAAUCCUCCAACAGGUCCGUUAACCCCAACCUUAAACAACUCUUGCUCUUUUCCUUCUGCUUAUGUGGAACACUCACAAAACUCCCAGCAAACUCGCUCUUGUCGGGUCCACUCGGUGCCGCAUCCUCAUCGUCCACGUCAUUCACAUACACAUCAAACUUCACAGCCACAUCUUUGUCAAGCUCAAUCCCCUGAAUCACCAGUAUCUCCUCCUCAUCCUCUUUCUCCUUCUUGCUCCUCUUCUUCGGCUUCGGCCUUGACACCACCGUACUUAUCUUUGUCUCCAAAUUUAUUGGAAAAUCUUUACCCGCCACCACCUUCCCCGAUGACGUCGUCUCAGCGGCCUUCGCCACUCCAGCCGCCUUUGCCUUUCUCGCAAGCUUUGUCCGACGUGGCGUCGGUCUAGACUUGAGCCAUGGAAUCUCAACAUCUUCAUACGUAUACCCUAGCUUUUUAUUAUCAAGAGUGUCCCUCACCGUGACCCUAACAAGCUCAGCAUUCUCGUCAUAAAACAAAAACCCCGUAUCCAACCAAUCCUUAUCGUUAAUAUCUUUAUUUUUAGUCCCUAUACUUUUCCAAAUAUUCCACAUUCGAUCUAUAUUCGAAUGGUGCGAAAAAAAUAUUGGAUCCCUUGCAGCGGAGUAAAAAUUCCCCAUGUCUUCAAAAUUAGGUUGCGUGUUAUCUCCGGUCCAUGUAUGAACCGGACCAUGUGGGGUCGUUUCGAUUGAACCGGCCCCUGGAUCUGGUUCGGUGCCAGCCCUGUAGGGCGAACCAAAGAACAACAGCGGUUUCUUGGAGUUGGAAACCAUCUGCCUAUACAUGAUUUUGAGGUUGGCGUCGAUUUGAGCAUCCUUGGACAUUGUUUCAUCCGUGCCGUUAAAGUCAAGAUCGAUGAGAGUCGGCGGCUGAUGGCUGGCAGCGCGGAGCUCGUCGUAAAGCGGAGAGUCCGGGUUAGCGAACAAGGCAGGGAGUUGCAUGCCAGCUGGCGCGUCCCAGUUCCAAAACGGCAACGCGAACGUCGGAUCGUCUAUGAGUUUGGCCAAGAUUCUUUCGUGGAAGUAUAGGUAGUAACGAUGGAAGGGGAAGAAAAGCCAGGAUUGAUGGAUUUGGAGCUCGAGGUUGGGGAAGCCGACUUGAUCGUACGCGCCGUCGCAAUAGGCACAGUGGAUAUCGGCUUGCUGGGUGAAGCUACGCGGAUCGUCGUCCGGGAGGGCUUUCAUGAGCUCGAUGGCUUUUGAAUAUUUUUCGAUGUAGGCUUUAUCCACGGUGUGAGCUGCCGGCCUGACGCGGAGUUUGGUAGGGGAGGGGAAUUUGAAGUCUACGAUUUUUUGGGACGUUGGCGGGCAACAGUUGGUCGGGACUGCUCCACUUGGAAAGUCCGCACCUCCGCAUUUGGCUAGGUCAGGCGGCGACACUGGCUUUGCAACAGCGAAGGGGUCGCUGCCAAGACCAGCCACUCCACCGUACAGGCUUCCGAGACCUAUAAGUACAUGUCUUCUGUCUAGGUUUACUGGAGAAAGGUUUUCAUGGUCGUGAUCGUUGGAGCUAGUGGAAGGGUUUUUGUUUUGGUCACUACUAUUAUUCGUGGCUUUGCAUGAGACGGCUUGUAAAUUGGAAUGCCUAGGGUUUUCAAAUAAGGAAAUUCGGUGAUACUUUUGGGAGAAAGGGAAGAGAGAAGUUGUGGGGAUGAUACUUGUGGUGGAGGUGACGAGUGGAGCUGACAUAGAAGCCAUGGUUACUUGACUCUGAAUACUACGUUGUAUAGGCUUUGCUUUUAUAAUGUGUUCUAGGUUUUACUUUUCUUUGCACAGGUGGCAGGCCGUACACAUUGGCGGUCCUUAAGGGUUUGACGAGGAAUACUACGUAGUCAUUUAGUACAGGGCAACCAUGCACUAUAGCACGUGGCAUGUAAUAUUUACGUAGUCUCAGAAGGUGAAGCGGUUUUGGGCUUCUUGUGUACCAAUAAUAUUUACGUACUCAUUAUUCCACUGGAUGGAUUGCGUGCACGUGAUCUUUAUUCAAACAAAUCACUAUUGACCAUAUAUUGCAAUUGGUUAAUGUUAGGCAAAUUAAAUUUUUACAUCAAAUAAUGUGGUUGCUGAUUAUUGAAUUAUUAUUUAAGUUUGAUUAAUGUGCUUAUUUUUUAUCGGUAAUACAUCAUUUGAUUUGCAAAUUUGAUUUACCUAAUAUUACCAGUUAUAAUUUGUAUAAAUGGACUGGUACCUAACAUUACCAAUUGUAAUUUGUAUAAAUGGACUCGUACCUAACAUUACCGGUUGUCCCAAGAGCACACGCUACUGCUCAAGAAGCAAAGUUCUUAUUUGCCCAAAAAAAAUCAUGGUUUUUUAAUUGAUGCUCUCAUUUUAAUUUACUAGCCCCUUACUUGGCCCUUUUUAUUUAUCAUUUUAUACAUAUUAAUAUUUUGUUUGUAAAAUAUAUUAGUGUUAGUUUUAUCAAAAUUAAAAAUAAAUAAAAAACUUAGCUUUAGUAUUUAGUUAUUGAAAUUGUAAAAAAAGUGAUAAAGUAUUGGGUGCUUUGUUUGAAAAUUUUCAAAAUGAUAUUGUUUUUACCACUGAACCCCUGUUAUAUACAGUGAUGGCUAAUUUGUCAAGUUCUACGAAGUUGGGAUACCCAGCGUUUUAGCAUAUAACAUAGCUUAGUAUUUCAAGCAUAAUUAAUUAACGAAAAAUUAGUAUCCGGUCCCUAGUUUUUACUGUUCAUUGACUAAGACCUUAUUAGUUCUCAAAUUUUGAUUCAAGUCCCUAGCAUUAAUGUGAUAAUGAAUUUACAUGUUUAUUAUAUAAUUUUUUAAUAUAAAAAUUAGUAAUUAAUUUAGGGUUUAAUACUCACACCUCUAUUAAACUUCUAAUUAAUUUUCAAUUCAGACAUUUCCAAAAUAAUAAAAAAUUAAAUUAAAUUAAGUUUGUACCUAUUAGUUUUUUUUUAUAUAUAAAAAGAUUCUCAAUUUUUAAUCUUAAAUGUACAUCUUAAAUGUACCCAUUCUCAAAUAUAUCAAUUUGUUAUAUGUAAAAUGUACCCUUUUUUAAUAUAAAAUCCAUUCAAAAUUUUUAAUCCAUGUUUAAACUUAUAUGGGUACAUUCUUUUUCGUUGAUUUGAGAAUGUAUCCAUGUUUUGGUACAAUAAAUUUUUUGUUAAUUUUGGUUAAUGUACCCAUACAUAUAUGUACACACACACACACACACACACACACAAUAUAAUAGAGAGUAUAAUUUAUAUUUUAUUAUUUUUAAUCCCAUAAAUGAUGGGUUUUAUUUAAAAUCUCAUUAAUAUAAACAAUUAUAAAUUUCAAUUUUUAAUUUUUAAUUUAAAAAAUAUAGUAACUUACAUUAUUACAUUAAUGUCAGGGACCUCAAUAAAAAACUAAAAACUAACAAGGUUUCAAUCAAAGAAUAUUGAUAGCUAGGGACCACAUCCAAAGUGUCCCUUAAUUAAAGGGUAAAUUACAUAGUAACCCCUCAGGUUUGAUGUCUAUUACAACCCCAUACAACAUCUUUAAAACAUUUCACUUUCAUACCUCAAGUACUAUUUUAUUUCAAUAUAAUACAUCUGUUAGAUUUUCCAUCCAUUAAUCCGUUAAAUGCUGACAUGGAUACCACAUUUGUGCCACGUGGCUGCCAAAUGCGUGUCAUGUGGCAAAAAUAAUAAUUUUUAAAUUUAAAAAAAAAUGAAUCUUCAACCCAAAAAAAAAAAAAAAAAAAAAACCCCAAACCCAGAUCCCAUCAACCCCCCCCAAACGAUUAUCCCUUCCCCAUAUCCCCCAUCCCACCCCCCAACCCCCCCUCUGCGACCAACCUUACCAUAGCGCCCCCCAACCUCGCGACCCACCUCACUCAAGGCCCUAAUCCACACUACCUACAACCCAGAAACGAAAAAAAAAAACAAAAAACAAAAAACUCAUCUCCCUUUCCCUGCAACCCAAAUCCCAUCUUCCCUAAUGGGUAUGGAUUUAAGAAGUGGGGUGUGUAGAGGAGGGAAGAGGGUGGGUGCGGAGGAUGGGUAUGGUGGGUUGCAAGGAAGGGGGGUCGGGUAAGAUGAAGAUGGGUUUUUUUUUUCUCUCUCUCUUCUUCUUCUUCUGGGUUGCAAGUUGUAGGUUGGGGUUUUUUUUUGGGGGGGGGGGGGAGGGAGGGAGGGAAGACGACGUGGGGUUUGGUUUUUUUUUUUUAAUUUAUUUAGAAGAUUUAGGUUUUUUGAAAAAAAAAAAAAAAUUCCACGUGGCACAAAUGUGGCAGCCACGUCAGCAUUUAACAGAUUAAUAGAUGGAAAAUCUAACGGAUGUAUUAUAUUGAAAUAAAAUAGUACUUGAGGUUAGAAAGUGAAAUGUGUUGAUGCACAAAACCGAAGGUCUUUGAACAACGUAAAUCCGAUCGUGAAUAUGCAAGUAAUGUAAAUAACACAAGAUGUAUCGUGGUUCACUCCAAUGUUUGGGCUACGUCCACACUGAUUAUUGUAUUUCUCUGAGAGGUGAGGGGGAGAGCUUUGAGAAAGCUUAGAGCUUAGGGGAUGUGAGAAGGCUUAAGAAUUGGCCUCCCUUAUUUGUGAGGGUGAUGAGUCCUUUUAUAGAAUAAGGGAUCCUCACUUAUUACAUAUUUGCCCAUUCCUUUAUUACAUAAUUACAUUUAAGUCCCCUGAGUACUUGUACAAGGUCUAAAUACGGAGGCCCUAAGUAUGGUACAAACAGUAGUCCCCCAAGUCUUCAGUCAAGAGAGUCUUUUGGCUAGAGACUUGAAAUUCUGUCCAUGUGUGAGCCGAAAUAACUAGAUGUCGUCUAGAACUGAUAUUUGAUAUGCGGCAGUGCCCAUUUUGAAAUAAUGCUCAACUAGAAGUAGCACAUGCUGCGAGGCUGCUCUGCUUGUGUUGCCUUGGUUGGCUCGACUUGUGGCGUUGAAGGUGAGAGAGUCCCUUUUAUAGAAUAAGGGCUCGCUCCUCAUUACAAAGAUGAUGGGUUAGUUGGUGCUUGCGGUGAGGCGGAUGCUCAGCUGGCGGCGAUGCUCUCUAAUGAUAGUGAGGGAGUCCAUUUUAUAGAAUAAGGGAUCGCUCCUCAAUACAUAAAUAAUAGGUGCUCUCUAAUGAAAGUAAGGGAGUCCCUUUUAUAGAAUAAGGGCUCACUCUUCAAUACAUAAAUAAUGGGCUAAGUCCCCUAAGUAUUUUUUAUGAGGCCUAAUUGAGGCCCAAUAUAUGGUACAUAAUGUAGUCCCCCAAGUCUUCGGUCAAUAGAGUCUGUUGGCUGGAGACUUCAAAUUGAAUCCAUGUAUGGGCCGAAGUGGCGGUUGUUCGGAAGCGGUAUUUGUAUACCCUGCACUGAAGCUUUAUAGGUGAAGCUUUGCAAGUGAAGCUUUGAAGCUGGAGCUCAGUAAAUGAAGCUUUUGAAGCUAGAGCUUUUGUAAAUGAAACUUUUGAAGCUGGAGCUCUAUAAAGGAAGCUUUUGUAAAUGAAGCUUUUGAAGCUGAUUCACAUGAGUGAUGCUCAUGAAUGUUUAUGUUGAUUGAUAUGAGUGAUGCUUAUGGAUGUUGACAUGAGUGAUGCUCAUGGAUGUUGACGUGAUGCUCAUGAAUGUUAACAUGAGUGAUGCUCAUGAAUGUUUAUGUAUGAUUGAUAUGAGUAAUGUUCAUGAAUGUUUAUGUAUGAUUGACAUGAGUAAUGCUCAUGUAUAAUUUGAAGUACUGGGCAUACUUUUGAUUACCUGGUUGGCGAUAAUAGCGGCAGGGUGCCGAAUAAUUUUUUGUAGUACUGGGCGUACUUUUGGUCACCUGGUUGGUGAUAAUAGCAGCAGGGUGCCGAAUAAUUUUUUGUAAUACUGGUCGUCCUUUUGGUCACCUGGUUGGUGCUAUUUUGAGCUUAUGGGCCUUCGCCCUCUACACAACAUUCCAGCCUAUUUAUUUUGGGCUUUACCGUUUUUUUUAAUUACCCUAUGAUGGGGUUUAUACAGAUGUCUCCGAAAGAUAUGAAAAAUAAAUUACAUCAUUCAAAAAUAAAUCCGACCCUCUGCUCAAUGGGUCACGCCAAUAAUUCUUUUUUUUUAUGCAUGCCAUCACCACCGCAAUUAUGUCUGCUUCUUUUUAUCUUCUUUUGCUUUCUGCUUUUGCUUUUACUUUAUCUUUCUCUUUUGGCAUAUGGCAGACAACGCCAAAACGGAAUAAUGAAUUAUUAUGAGAACAUGAAUCUUAUCUUUUGCCUGGUUUUCCACUAGUGCUCGUGGUAUUCUCAGGAGAUUGGAUCUGGGGGUAGGCGACUACCCCAGCACCUUGCCCUGAUACGUAAUAGCCUGAUGUCCCACUGCCAUCUCCAUACUGGAAGGUGUACGAACAAUGGUUAUUCUGUGUGGAACAAAUAGAAUCCGAUUGAGAUUCAAGACUGCACCUUCGAUCUGAGCAAGAAAUGAAUUGUGACGUUGAUGAACUUCUAGGAGGAGAAGCAGAGGAUCUUUGACUAUGAUGAUCUUUGAAUUCCAGAUGAAACUGAAUAAAAUGCAGGUUGUGGAGCUUGAUGUGGGCCCAGAUCUGCUUGACAGCUUUGGGGCGGGAGGAUUCCUUGACACUGAGGAAGAUUCCCAGAGCUGGAGGGAUGAGAAUCGACUUCAUAAUCCCGAUGGUGGGUUUGUGCUUGGUCGAAAGAUCAUUUCUGGCAGGGGAAAACAUGUACCAUACCUAUUGCAAAUCUUGCAAAUUCUCUGCUUCUCCAUGGAAGAUGAAGAGCAUCGAAUCUCUGUUUUCUCUCUCUCUCUCUAAAACGUUUUCGUUAUAGAGUGCCCCAAUAGAAGUGGACGGGCAGUGAGCAUGCCAUUUAGUGCCUCCUCCAAGACAGUAACUGAUACGGUGGUCUUUAUUGGCACUCCAAGUUUACUAAAAAGGGCAGCAAAAAUAGUAUUUACAGCACCCAAACUUGAAAGAUCUAGCUCCAACUAGUGGCUUUCUGUUUCAACAGCCUGAAAGCCGGCAGUGUCAUACCGACGCCGUUUGUCUGGAUCAAAUAAUAUAUUAUAAGAAAACAUGACCUUCUUGAAGAUAUCAGCUGUUUUAGAGUCAUUAGCAUUUUUGUCAGGAUGGUACUUGAGAGCCAUUUUCCGGUAAGCACUUUUGAUUUCCUGGUUGGUGGAAUUCCUAUUGAGGCCGAGGACCGCAUAAGGGUUUUGUCGGAGCUGCUUCUUAGCUUCUUGCUUCUCCGAUUUUGAUCGGCUGCCCUGCAUUUUUGAAAUUGACGGUCAAUUUCUUCACAAAACCCUAGAAAUUGCCUCUCGAUUACCUCCGAAACACAUAAUUCACGACUCUUGGUUGAAAUUUUUUUUUUUCAUUUCAAAGAAGUGGCGGAGGUAAAUCAGUUGUCACAUAGCACCGGAGCAUGAGGAAAACCUAGAAAACCAAGAGGCAGAGAGACUCCAUGCACAUCUAACCUGGAACCUUGCAGGAGAGAGCAGAGAGAAAGAGACAAGAAAGAUUGAGGGAGAAGCGAUCUUGGUGCAUCGUCUGUGAUUCCUUGGUGAUUUGCUCGAUCGGGACUCUGAAUUCGUGCAAGUCAUUGCUGUUAAGCAAGAAUCGCGAGGAGUCGGAGAGCUUGGAAAUCGAGAAGGAGAGAGGGCCUUUAGUCAGGGCUUGGAGGGUGUCGGACUCCGUCGGCCAAGAUUGGUGCACGGUCACGGCGUCUGGGCCCAUGGCGGUUGUGUAAAUGGGGGAGGUUCUAGGAGUCCAAGAAAGAAGAAGAAGCAGCGACCAUAGAUCUGGGAGUCCAUGGCGCUUGAAAGAUACGGCGAACAAGUCGGACUUGCUGCUGGGCAGCUGGCGGUGAUAAUGUUGGUGCAUGGGUUUUGGAGUGGGAGUGUUUGGAAUGGGUUUUUUGUUUAGUUUCUAUGUGUUUUUUCACAGAGAGAGAGAGAGAGAAGUGAUGGUGUUUAAGGGAUGAGUUUUGGAGCUUAGUGAAUGCUUUUUCUGGAAAAGCCCAGUGAGGUUUGUGGGUUUUUGCAGAUUUUGCAGAUUCGCGGUGGAGGUGAAAGAAUGAAAGAGAACCGACACAACUUUUCGUAUUGAUUCCCACAUACGGCGCCAAAUGUUGAUGCACAAAACCGGAGGUCUUGGAACAACGCAAAUCCGACCGUGAAUCUGCAAGUAAUGUAAAUAACACAAGAUGUAUCGUGGUUCACCCCAAUGUUUAGGCUAUGUCCACACUGAUUAUUGUAUUUCUCUGAGAGGUGAGGGAGAGCUUUGAGAGAGCUUAGAGCUUAGGGGAUGUGAGAAGGCUUAGGAAUUGGCCUCCCUUAUUUGUGAGGGUGAGAAGUCCUUUUAUAGAAUAAGGGUUCCUCACUUAUUACAUAUUUGCCCAUUCCUUUAUUACAUAAUUACAUUUAAGUCCCCCGAGUAUUUGUACGAGGUCUAAAUACGGAGGCCCUAAGUAUGGUACAAACAAAAUGUUUUAAAGAUGUUGUAUGGGGUUGUAAUAGACCUCAAACUUGAGGGGUUACUAUGUAAUUUACCCUUAAUUAAAAUAAGGGCAAAUGAAGAGGAUGGUUGAACUUGUUAAGUUUCUUAAGUGUGUCUAAUUUAAGUGUGUUGUUAAUAAACAUUUAUUAUGGAGGCAAAGAGAGGGAAGGUGCGGCAUAGAAAGAGAAGAGAGAGAUAUGUAAUUGUGAGUUGUGUUUUAUUCCAUCCCAUUGUGCAUUUAUUUAUAUUAGUUGGGAAAGUUAAUUCUUUAACCUUUUAGGAUUACAACUCUAAUAGGAAAAUAUAUAAUCUAAAAGAUAUGGUAGAAUCCCAUAAGAAUAUCCUAGAUAUGUUAGGAUUUACACAAUCAUAUUCCUAUUCCAAUAGGACUGCAAAACAUUUGUAUUUUUUUAUAAUUUUUUUGAUAAUUUGUUGGCAUUUUCAAUUUUUGUUAACAUUGAAAAUAUAACGGUUCAGAUGAAAAACCUUUGGAAAUCCAACAUUGAAAAUAUAACAGUUUGACGUUGGGCUGUGGUGAAGGAGGCUGGGCUGUCACGUGGGUGGGGCCCUCCCUCUCCCACUUGGUGAUUCAAAGGGCGCAGGCCCGUGCAACAAUUGAGGCAGCCCAUAGAGAUCCUGCGUUUCACCCAUUUGCCAUUUUUUCCACCGCUGGAGCACCAAAAUUCGGUCCAAAGGCAGGGGUUCCAAUUGCAUGGGCAAUUUGGUUUCCGCUGGAGGUGCUCUUUGUCGACUUUGUUUAUUCUUUCUUUUUAGCUUUGCAGUAAUAUUGAAGUAAUCACUCCAAUUGUAUCCGAACUUUUGUUGUCCAUCAAUUUGUAUCAAAACUAUUGGUUAAUUUACAUAUUCAGACUAACCUUCUCAUUAUUUUUAGUAUUUUUAUCAUAAAUAAUAUCUAAAAUAAUCACAUUUUAUUCAACAACCACUCAAUUAAAAAUUAAUUAAUGUUGUUUCUAAACCAUUACAUCGAGCUUUUGUAAAUACACAUCAAUAUUGCAGCGAUCCGAGGCAUUGUUUUCUACGCCUUGGAUUUGGCGAAUUGGAAAAGAGAAGAGUUACGAGUAAAAGUCCCUCACAUUAAGAGGGCUCCUCCUCGGGGAGAUGAAGAUGAUGAUCUUUUGUUUUUGUUUCUUAAUGAUUAAUCCACGCAGCAACAUAUAAUUAGAUUGUUGGGAUCUACUCAAGUUCCAUAUCACGCACUAAUAUAAAGUUUGACAAACGAAACGAAAUAUGUGCUCUCGAAAGCAAAAUGAGGGCACUGCUCCAAGAACAGGAAGGGCUCCUUGUCGAGGUUGCCAUCCGCCAUGAGGGAAAACCGGAAGAAGUUAGACAACAAUGAUGACAUCGAUUUGCAACACCCAUAUUGGGACAUCAAACUGUGAAAUAAAUACUCAAAACUCCUGGAAAGUCCUCGGGACAACAAACUUUUAUCUCCUUCAAAUAUUUCAUUUUACCAAGUUUUAUGUUUGAAGGGAGGGAAAAAAAGAGAUGAGAGAAUCCUACUCCUUAUUCUUGAAUAUAUUCAGGAAUAACUAUUGAAUAAAGAGAGAAUGGAAGGGGAUCGAAAGAGGAGGGAAGAUAAUUCUAGUCCCAAACAUAAAAAGGACCACAACUUUUAAAUUAUCAGCACGAUCAUCAUCUGAUUGAAGAGACCAUUCAUUGUGAAACAUAUCGUCAAUCAAUAUGUCUAUAUCUAUUUAUAUACCACAUUUUUGGAGUAGGAUUCUCCCCCCUCCUAUUACCAUCCCCUUCCAUCCCCUUCCAUCCCCUCCUUUCAUACUUUUUUUUUUCUUAUUCUCUAUAUAAAAAAUUCAAAACAAGAUGUAGAUGUGUCGUAAUCGCAAUAGUUUAAAUAAAAGGAGAUGGAAGGAGAGAUAAAUUACGAGGGGAGAGAAUCUUACUCCCACAUUUUUCUUCUUCAUAAACAAAAGAGAGGUUCUAGAUUACUUGACUCUAUGCCUCAUUUUUUUCAUCAAGUAUUUGUGCUAAACGGGUUCAGUUUCAAGUAUUUUAGUUUUUUGUCAAAAUUGAGAAAACUGAAAAUCAAACAUUAAUAUGCAAAAUUAAAAAAUCAACACAUAAUUAUUUAGAAAUCGCAAUAGAAAAGAAAAAAUGGAGGUUUGUGAUGAAAAAUCUUUUAUACUAAGUAAUUUAGUAUCCUUAUGCAUGAAGAUAAUCAAUUCGUUCGUUAUGGUCAGACUCUUUUUGAAUUUUUGAACACAUUCUCCAUAGGGCCUUCUUAUUUGUUCCUUCUCCGAGUUGGGGUUAUGGAAGAAGUAAAAGAAGGAACCAAGAAGAAAGUAUUGGCAACAACCGAUUUCGUUACGGGACAACUCUUGAUAUUCAUAUCGAUCUAUUAUGUACCUUUGCAUCUAGCAUUAGACAAUAACUGUCAUAGCUUUACCAUAUUUUUUUGUUUCAUUUCUUCUGAAACAAUAACACACACUUUUUUAUUAUGUGUCUAAUACUAGGAAUUCAAUACAUAAUCUUAGCAUUCAAUAGUUAUUCCUGAAUAAUUUCAUUUUUCAAUUGAUCAACCAUUUCAUUUUUCCAAGUUCAAUCAAUGUUAGUCACAUUAGUCAACAUUUAUAUAUUUUGAUGCAACAACAAUAUGUUAUUUGUAACAAGUGAUUUUGCUAGUUGGUUAAUUGGUCACAAGUUAAUGUUCGGUUCAGUUCAGCUUUUCUCUCGAUUUUUUGCGAUUCGGUUUUUUCGAUUCUCUUUAGAUUCGGUUCGAUUUUGUUUUUUUAUUUAUACUUAAUUUUUUUUAAUCUGAAAACACCAAGAACAACACAAGCAUACUCAAUCAAACAACUAUCCUUCUCCACAAAUCACAGUAAUAAUUACAUUCAUUUAGCUAAAAUGCAAAUAACUAACAAACUCACAAAAAUCGAAUAAAAACUACAAAUUGCUUACUCUUUUUCUUUGGGUUUCACUCGAAAAGUGUCGGUAAAAUUUAGGGUUUGCAAGAACGCAACCGAAAUCCAAAACGGAGGCUCUGUGGCUUGUGGGCUGCUAUUGAGUUCCAGUACGGAAAACCUUGCUUACUCUCUAUCACGGUACAAAGUAUCAGUACCUUUAGCACUGUAUUUGGUAGAACCAAAUUAAAAGCUAACAUCAAUAACAACUACCAGAGACAUAAGCUCUUAUCAAUGCUUUGGAAACAGUCAUGUAUCUCCAAGUGUAAUGAUAUAAUUAGUAAGAAAUUUAAAAGAAAAAUGGUGAUUUCAUAUAAAAUCAAUAAAAAGUUACAAUAUUGACAAUAUAUCAACAAUUUUUAUGGGGUAAAUUACAUAGGACCCCCUCAGGUUUGAGGUCUAUUACAACCCCAUACAACAUCUUUAAAAUAUUUCACUUUCAUACCUCACCUACUAUUUUAUUUCAAUAUAGUACCUCCAUUACAUUUUCCAUCAAUUGAUCCAUUAAGAGCUGAAUUGGUUGCCACAUUUGACACGCCCCGAUCCCGAUAUCCUCGGGAUAUCAGGAUGGUCACGUGCUGGCCGACACCCGAGGGUGACGAAAGCCAUUUAUUGAGUGCAAUUGCUGAAAAUAAAGGAUAGAUAAAACUUAUAAAUGUAAAAGAAUAAGGAAUAUGCAUUUAAGGAACGUGUUCAGAGCAUACAACUAACUAGAACACUAAAAGAAUGAUAUAAAAUGGAAUGAAUAAAAGAAUGAGUCUUACACCAAGAGGACUCGAAGAUGCCGAUGCGGAAGUACCUUGAUUGUCGGGAUUGUACGCCUCGAUCCUAAAUCCUGAAGGGGGCGCAAAACAAACAUGAGUGGACCAAGUUGAUAUAUAUAUAAUAAAACAGUUAUCAAUAUACUAACCCCCAGGUUUAUGAAAACAAAUAUAUAAUGAUGAACAUAGGUUUUCCGAAACCUAGCAUGAUGUGCAGUAUCUCAAAUCAUAACUCAUAUAUAAUAAUCACUAGUGAAUUGUCCGAUAACCUGCAGGCCCCAUGCCGGCUCCCCGUCUCUGAGCAGACAGUCAGAGGAAAAUACACUUCAGGCCCCAUGCCGGCUCCCCGUCCCUGUGCUAAAUAGCCAGAGGAAACACACUCCAGGCCCUAUGCCAACACCAAACCGUCGCCCGGGACGGACCGGAAUCUAUUCCUACGUCCCGUAGCGGAAAUGACCACUAGGUAAGUACAAAACCAUUGAACAUACAUAUAUUGAAAAACAACUUCAUAGUAUAAAGUCAUCCAUCAUCUAUACUAUAAAGAGGUGUUCGAAACAUGUUCUAAAUAUCAUAUCGUCAUCCAUCAGAUAUUCUAUAAGAACACGGGUUAUAGGAAAAAUAGUAAUAAUUCAAGGUAGCCUCAGUAAGCAUGUUAUCUCAAAACGUUUCAUAAAACGUAAUCAUUAAAUCAUGCAUUUCAUGUAUGCAUUUCUACUAUUAAAACAUGCUUUUGAAGGGGUCCACUCACAGUACUUAGCCGCCGAAGAGCCACGCAAACUAACGUCACCAAUAUUGCCCCUAAGCACAUAAAUGGUCCAAUUAAUAAAACUAUAUAAUAGCAAUUGGAUUUGGGAAAACGGACGUUGGAAACGGAUUCAGAACGUCGAAUUACCCUAAGAAGGGUCCCGGACGAAAACCCGAAAAGUCAACUCUAAAGUCAAUGUUGACCGGAGGUCAACGGUCAAAUUAGGUCUAACGGGUUUUAGGCUUGAAAUCCGGAUUAGGGUUUAGGUUAAAUAGGAUUAGGAUUUAUUGGGUUUUGGAAUUCUAAGGUUUUUGGGUUAAAAGGGUUUAGGGUGAAAAUGGGUGGUUUGGGCUUAAUCCCAAACUCACACACAACACACACACACACUACACAAACCCUAAAACACACACACACACACGGGCUGCACUAGGGCAGCCCUCACAACACUUCACAAAGGCCCUAAGGCCUUAUUAAAGGACAGGGCUUUAAGCCCUUUAAAGGAUACUGGCCCAAGGCCCGUCAAAAUAAGGCCCGAGGCCUUUGGGUUUUAAAAAGAACAAGAACAAAUUUAAAAGAAAAGGGGCUGGGGUCUACUGGGCUAAGAUAUAACGGGCUUAAGGCCCGUGGGGUUUUCUAAAGGGCCUGAGAGGCCUGGGUUUGUCGAAGGAGAAGGCCGGAAUUUCGGCCGGAAAACCACCCAACUUUAAAUGGCCAUAACUUUGUCAAUACUCAACGAAAUCAAGCAAGACAAAAAUGAAAGUUGUAGCCCUUGAAGCGACGAAGAGAAUGGUUCCUCACACGACGUCUAACUCGCCGUGGUUUGGCCGGAAAAUGCCUCGAAAUCCGUCGGACUCGCCGGAAACUGGGUAAGAUUCAAAUGAGUAUAACUUCUUCAAUACUCAACGAAAUUAAGUGAAACAAAAAGGAAAGUUGUAUUACUCGACGAGACGAAGAGAUUGAUACCUUACACGCCGGCCAACUCGCUGUGGUUUGGCCGGAAAUGGCCUCGAAAGGGGCGGUGCUCGCCGGAGCUUACUCCGUGCCGUCGAACUCGCAGGGUAGGGUCCGGGGUUCGUUGCAAGCCUCUCUUCGAUGGUGACUCGGUCCUAGUGAGUCCAGGGGAAGAGAGAGAUGCGAAAGGUUGAGGGAGAGAGAGACGGGAGAGCUGAGAAAGAGAGAGCUACGGGAGGGAGAAACGAAGAAGAAGAAGAGAGAGAUCAGAAAACAUAAAAAAAAUAAACAAGGUGGGCCCCACGGGCUCACCAAUUAAGGCUUUAAAACAAUUUUAAAAUAUAAAAGAGGGUUGGGGUGUUUCAACAUUUGUACCACGUGGCAAAAAAAAAACCUAAAUCUUCUAUACAAAAAAACUAAAAAAACCAAAAAAAGCAAAAUCGAACACUCCACCCCGCAAAAAUCCUAGCAUCUUCCUUUUAUUCCCCACAACCCCAAAUUCCCCCCCAAAACCCCUAAAACCCAAACCCUAAUUCCUCCCCCACAUGAAGAAAAUCCCAGUCCAAUUCAAUCCCAAUUACCUCAAAUCCCACCAUAGAAACCCUAAAUUUUGGUUCCUCAAUCCCUAGAUUUCCCACGCCUCUGUUGCCUACACCUUAUCAAUCUUUAGCUUUCUCCCUCAUCCCCUCCAUGAACGACACUUUCUCUCAUCCGCUGUUCCCCAGCAACGGCACCGAUACCUACGAGGCCUGGUACGGCAACAUCCAGUACCUUCUCAACAUCUCCGCCAUCGGCUCAUUCUUAUGUGUCUUCUUUUUCACCUUGGUCAAGCUUUGAAGCGAUCGCCGCCGCAUGCCCGGCUCGUCCUCCCUCGUUGCUAAGCUCUUCGCAGUGUGGUAUGCUACCUGUCGAGAGAUUAUGCUCCCAUGUGGCGCUGAGGCCAUAAUACUCACGCACCCAUCUACACACCCACACCACCACUACCGUGGACUCUCUCUCACUCUCCCUCGUCUUUGUAGAGCUAGGUGAAGCCUAGAAACCGAGAACUAGCUCCAGCAAACCCCGUGAGUUUCGAGCCAGAUCCCUGCCGACUCCGACCAUCCCAUGACCAAUCUAAGGUACAAAACAUUUCCCCUUGACUCUAUGCUCUUUUUCGUAUGUAGAUCGUAGGGAAAAGCCCACAGAAUGAGAGAGAAUAGUGACCUGAGAGAGUCCACGGUGAUGGUGGUGUGUAGAUGAGUGCGUGCGUGGGUGUACUGUCGGGGAUAGAGUCUGAGAGAGAUAGAGAGUGAAAGAGUCUGAGAGAAGAGUGACUUGCGAGAGUGAGAGAUUCGAGAGAGACUCGGGAAAAGAUUUAUGGGUUUGGGUUUUUCUGGUUUUUUAUUUUUAUAAUAAUAGGGUUAAUAUUAUAAUAUUUUUAAUGUAUAAAAAUUUCUUUUUUGCCACGUGGCAGCCACAUCAGCACAAAUGUGGUAGUUGUAGAUGCAAAUUUCUUCCUCUUGAUCUUGGACAAUUUUGCACCUACAAAACAAUUAACACCUUAGGUUAAGGCCAAAAGCCUCACACACCCACAAUGAAUGGGGGGCUUUGGCCGAAGAACCUCUGUUGCCAAAGUUAGAAUUUAGAGAGAAAGAGUCUUUACAGAAUUUUGGGAUUUUUGCCAAAGUGUUGGAAUGGCUUUCUGGUGAGAACGGGAUCACUUUUAUAAGGAUAGGAAGUGGUCGGCCUAGCUAGGGUUUUUGGGUUUAAUUUAGGUUUAAUUCUUCAAUUUAUUUGGCUAAUUAAACCCUAAAGAAUAAAUUGGUGGUUACAAAAUUGAUUAUUUGUAUAAAUGGGGUAAUAAAAUGGAGAAAAGUGAAAAAGGUUAGGAAAAGGGAGGUAGCUAGCUUCUUAGUAGUUUUAGGUGUGAGUGGGUGUUUUAAUUGAUAAUUAAGGGAUUGAUUAGGUAAUUAAUCCCUUAAUUAAACAAUUUUUAGGGAAUAUGAAAGGAAAUUAUUAUUUAGCUAAUUGAUUAGCUAAAUAAUGGAAUACAAAAUAUAUAGAAUAAAUUAGGCUUUAGGUAUUACCUUAUAGAAAUGAUUUGAUGAAAUAGGCUUUAAAUUGUUAACUAUUUUGGGCACUUUUGACUUGGUUGAGGAUGAUUGUCUGCCGCUCGCACGUAGGAAUCUCGAUAUGCCUUAAGGGUAUUUUUGUCCUCUUUUACCCAAAAAUCCACGUGUCGCCUUGUGAUUAUUUUUGGCUCCACAAAUGCCCCCACACCUGUUGGGCUGCUCGCAGAAAAUGGCAGCAGGUGUAGAGAUCAUCUUGCUUUAGGAAACGUAGGACUACUUCCUCUUUAGAUGUAGAUUCUCUCUUUAAUAGGAAAUUAGGUUCUUCUAGGAAAGGGAAAUAAAUUUCUGUUAAAGCCUAUUUAAGUCUACCUUAAGUGGGUUAUUAAAUCAACUUUGGAGAGCGAUUUCUUAUACCCUACAAGAGAGAGGGAGCUUAGAGAAUAUUUGUUCCCCCUCUUCUAGCAAUCUUCUACAUCUUUCCCGUGCAAAGGAUCGUCUUUCGUUGAUUUCUUCGUCUUCUCCGUGCCGCACCGAUGUAAGAAAAAUUUAAUUUUUUGCUUAUCUUCUUCUUGGAUAGUACUAUUACAGGGCAACCGUUAAGGUAGUGCGGCACGUCUACUGGCAGGGGCUAGGAGUUGGCUCGGCAUCGGUCGAUGAGGCAUUAUGGCAGGGGCCACUGCUUAGGCUGUUUGGCUUGGCUAGAGCCAAUGGCAGCUUGUGCGGCUGGGGUCGCGGAUUGUGGCGUUGGGGCGCAAUGCUAGGCGAGCCACAUGGUUAAUGUCCUUUAGGCUCUUAGACCUUACUCGGGCCAGGCUAGCGACUGAAAGAAAUGAGGAGGUCGUGGGCCUCAUGGGUUGUUGGAAUGUUGGGCAUGCAGGCCUCCUGUCUGCUAGAAUGCUAGGUUGAGCUCCUCUGCUGAGUACCGUGAAUGGCGUUGGCUGCUUAGUUCUUUUUACAGAGAGAAAGGUGGGCUGCUCCCGAAAGAGGAAGUAAAGAGGAUCAAGGUGGAUGCAUUGGCUCGUCUAAUCGCUGUCGUGGAACCUCCUAUGAAUGAAGAUGGAAAUAAGAGAUCUUCCCUGCCUACUCAAGAGAUGCCGAUCGAGAAAAAUUGAAGACUUUCUCCACUGCUGCUCAUGAUGAUUUGUCUGCUGUCGAUAGGCCUGUGAUUGGCAUGACUUCUUCCAAUGGGAAGAAAAAUGAGGCUGCUAGAUCUGAUCAUGUGGUGCCUUCCAUGUUGAGAAUUGCUAGUACAAUUGUUGAUAAGAUUGCUUAGCGCAAAGGUUUUAUCAUGCCCCCAGUACCGAAGUCUGUACCAGGACUUUCGUUUGGAGCAAAGUCUGGUUCACCUUUGGAGAUACUUGCUAUUAUGAAAAGUGGUAAGGUGGACUCUGCUGCUAAAGUGGCGUCAAGGCCCACUCCCUUUGUUGCUGAGACUGAUUCGCCUGCUAGGAAGGAAGAUACUACUUGUAUGGGCAGCUGUGAGAAAUCCACUAAACUUGCUUCUGGGGAGGCUGCUGAGAUCAUUGUGCUUUUGAAACUAUAUCUGCUUGAAGACAUGGACGCUUGUGCCAAGUUUGUUGAUGGCGGUAGAAAGGUUGUUUACCUAAGUUCCUUUGCGAAACAUACGACCCAAUAUAAAAUGACUGCUCUGCUUACUAGGAUGCAUAAAUAGCAAGGUUGUCAAGGAGGUGGCGAAGAUUAUGGCAGCUAAAGCUUAUUCCUCAGUCGAGGAGAUCAAAAGGUUGAAUUAUGAGCUUGUUGCUUUGAAAGAAAUGGAAGAACUGCAACACGUUCGUGUUAGUCUGUUUGAGAAGAAUGAGCAGCUAAACGGUAAGAAUGAUGGGCUUGAGGUUUCUCUAUUUUUCCGGAAGACUUGCUUACUUUUACUUUUGAGGCUUCCAUUGGUGAAGUAGUUGGAGACGUUAGUGCCCAGGCUUAGGCAACCGGGGGUGAAGCACCGGAUGAUGCCGCUGCUAAGAACGUUACGGCUGCUGAAGGUGUGGAGACCAAGUAGUCGUGGGAUGUCCAAGCUGCUGUAGUGUAGUAUUUUAGGUAGCUUUUAUGAUUUUCUUUGUUUUUCCUUGUAGCUCUUGUUUUGCUUGAACUUCUUCGGCCUUUGCUAGUUGUAUAAACAUGUUUUCCUUCGCUUUUCUUCAUCUUCGCUUCUUUUGUUCAUGCCCUAACCUUUAGACUUGAUAGACCAAUGGCAGGCAUGCUACUUUUUUAUAAGCAGACAAGCUCGCGUAGCCUAUGCAGCCGUAAAUGUUGGUGUAGAACUUUGCAAAGUUGUUAGCCAUUAGGUUGGUAACCAGAUACCUUACUUACAGAAGUAGACAAGUCCGCAUAACCACUAGGCUAUUAACCUUGACUUUCUCCAAUUCUGUAGGUUGCGUAGCAAGUAUCACAACACUUUAGGAAUUGGUAUAGGUUGCUCCGCACUUGGCAGAGGUGAAGCCUAUCGACUACGUAGCAUGUCGGCAGUGGAUAAAACUUCCAUAUAUGCGCGCUAGCUUGUUUAACCUUUCACAAGAAUGUGCGGUUGUAUAAGUCUAGCACGGUUUUACUGCUUGAAGGGCAAGCCGUAGGCAGUCUUCCGGAAUCCGUAGGCUACCUUAAUGUACUCGGUAGCAGCUUUAGGGUUCCAGGGCAGCCGUCUAUAGAGCGUACUGCGUAAUGUGCCCCAUCCGUCUCUAGCUCCCGGUUCCCCACAGAUUAGACCAAGAGACCCAAAAUCCUUCAGUUAGUUAAGCCUUGAAAAAGACCAUUGUGGCUACUUCUAGGAAUCCCGGCUCAAGCCAUCGUACAUCUAGUUAUACUAGGGUAGCCAGGCUCAUCAGCGUCUGGAUAUUCGGAGUGUAAAGUUUAUCCUCCCGUCUUAGAGAGCUGACCCAUAUGAGUGUCGGGGAAUUGGUUUACCCUCUCACACUAGAGAGUAAUUAAUUUACCCUCUCGCACUGGAGAGCAAUUAGUUUACCCUCUCGCACUGGAGAGCAUGGUUGGUCCAUCGGGGGGCGCAAUUCCUGCGAUGAGUCCCUAAGAAGGGCGCAGUCUUCUUUUGAAGUGCAGGAAUGAUUAGUUGUUAUAAGCAUGUGAUCGAGUCAAGUUGUGAUUACUUCUAAAUUCCUCAUUGAAAAACGAGUGAAACGAACGAGAACUUAGCCGUAAGGUAGGAACUGCAUAACAACUGGAUAGUCCUCAACUUGUGUGGUGGUACCCAUCGAGCUUCUUGAGUCUUCGGGCUUUGAUGUAGUGGGAGGUUACACAUGGCACCUUUUCAGAUUGUAGGCGCUCUACUGCUUUUCGAACUUUUUUUUUGUUGUGUAAUUGCUCUUGCUGCCUACUCGGCUAAUCUUAUACAGACUUUCUCGGAUGAGAUUCAUCUUUUUGGAGCUUCUCUGCUGGCAGUGAUGAAGGCUUUUCUUAGGACUAGAUCUCUGGGCUGGAACUGCCAGAUUUUGGCCUUUUUGUUGUGGCUGGAAAAGAACCACUGCUGGUAAGUUGUAAUGCAGAUGAUAGUCUGCUCGCACUUCUCCUCUGCCAAAUUUAAGCUUGUGGCCAUCUCCUUUCGGUUGCUCGUCUUUUGGUGUUGCGAUGUGCCCAUAGACAUCCAGGGAGUUUGUCUGGCCAUUUUCUUUUCUUAUUGGUAGGGGAUUUCUUGUGGCAGUCGAGGAUCAUCUUAGUGGAUGUUUUGGCCAGCCUAUUGCCUUGAGGAUAUCUUGGCGUAGACAUGUGCUGCUUGAUGCCAUAUUUUUAGAAGAAUUUCGCCAAAUCUUUGCCCACGAAUUACGGGCCGUUGUUGGUGACGAUGGAUUAAGGUAUGCCAAAUCGGCAAAUGAUGCUCUUUCAUAUGAAGCGCUCUAUGUCCGUUUGAAUUGUGAUCGUCAUGGGCUCUGCUUCUACCUAUUUGGUGAAAUAGUUGGUUGCCACGAUCAUCAUGCAUUUGCCCUUAGUAGUCUGGCUGGUGAUUAGCUGGGAAUCAGAAUGAAUUGAAAGCUUUUUCACCACCAAGUCUUUUGUCACUCGAAGGCCUGCUAGUGGGGCUUUGUACUCUGCUUCGUUGUUAGGUGCUUUGACGCUUAGAGUGAUCGCUUACUCGAGCAUUGAACCGUCUGGGGUGGCAAGAACCACGGUUACUUAUAAGCCUUUGUAGUUGGAUGCGCCGUCGACAUGCAAAUGCCAGAAAUUUCCAUUGAGGGAGUAGGUAUGGCUAAAGUGUGCUCGGCUACCUUCGAAGCGUCGUUGGGCCGCUUUGUUACAUUGUCAAGGCUAGGUUUGAAGGCGCGGUAGAGAGUCGUGGAGCUGGGGCCAUGUUACAUGUAGCAGGAGAUGCUCAACUUCCGGUAUUAGGCCACUCUAGAGCUGAAUAAUGGAGCAAAGGUCGGCUAGGGUCGUAUGACGCGCAGCAGAAGGUAGUGCUCGACUGCUAGUACAUGUUGCUCUUACGUAGAAUCUUCUGAGGCGACGAGGACAAAACUUGCUUUUAAGUGUUCCUUCUAGUGUUCGUCUGCCCUUGGCGUGUCUUUUGGGCUGAGUUGUUGCGUUCGUCAGAAAACUUUGCAUCUGCCAGGGUUUACGUCUUUAUCAUCACGGGUUUGGAUUAGGCGGAAUAGUGCGUCAUGAUGAUGACUGCGUACAUUUGAAGGUAAAACUUAAGCUUUUGGGUUACAACAACUAUCACCAAAGUUAGCUUUUGAAUUUUUAAUAGCAUCGAGGAGAGCUUUUGAACUAUAAAAUACAUGUAGUUGGGCCCCCAACUCUUCUCGCAUGACGGUACAGCUUAUUUCUACUUUAGAUACCGUCAAACAUGCGAAUAAGUCCUCUGCUGCUUCUAGGGAGGUGAUGUUGGGUACUUCUUCAAGCCCUUGAAUGUGCAUUGGCGAGCCUCAUCCCAAAGUGCAUGCUUCUCUGCCAAAGAAAAAGAGUCUACCAGAGUUAGAUAUUCUUUCAUGAUCAAUUUUCUAAAUAGCGGUGGUCUGCUGGAAGGCCUUUUUGGAAGGCUGCUCUAGCUAUUGAGUCGCUGCAUCCGACUAUCAUUGCCUUCUCUGUUUUGAAUCUCUUCACAUAGUCACGAAGUGACUCCUUUGGGUUCUUUUUUACGUCAAACAAAUGGUCGGACUUCUUUUUGAUCGAGCAAUAAGAUGAAUAUUCUUUGGUGAAAACCAAAGAAAGUUCGUAGAAAUUCUAGAUAGAUUGUGGCGGCAGGGUGUAGAACCAAUCUUGUGCCUCGCCUUCAUAGUGGUGGCGAAUAUCUUGCACAUGAGAUCAUCGUUGUUUCGAUAAAGGAUCAUUGUGCUUCGGUAGCGCUUUAAGUGUCUCUUCGGGUCUUCAUCCCCUUUGAAAGAUAUGAAAUGUUGCAUACUGAACUCGCAUGGAGGCUCUGCCAGCUCGAUCUCAUCCGUGAAGGGUGACCUGCUUAUGUUGGUCAUGUUCCGUCGUAGUGCCUCGUCGGUGACCUUGUUGCGUUAGAAAUCAUGCAAUCGCUUGAUUAAAAGUCUCUCUACUUCUUCCUGAAUUUUCAUUUGUUAGGGUAGCAGAGCUCUCGGCUGCCCCUAGCCAUAACUUACUGGUCUAGGAUGCUCUUCCAUGUGUUUGGCUCGUAUACCGUGGAUGCAGUGUAUGUGGUGCGGUCCUAGUAGGUGAGCGAGUUCUUCGCAGGCUGCUAGUUGAACUUGAGCUGGAUUGAGUGACUACUUCUCUCCGUCCGUCGUGCUGCCUACUCCAAUGUGAGGUGAAAGAUGCUCCUUGCAGGCUUAGCCACGAAUGAACACUUUACCUGGAAGGUUGCUCAUGUUGACUAUCAGAGUAUGACCCUAACCGUGAAUGUAUAUUCACCCGUGGGCUUAGUCGAGAGUGCACGCUCCUCCGCGCGCUAAGACGAGAGUAUACGUUAUCUCGGGAGCCCAAUUGGGAGUGUACACUGCCCGAACGCUCGGCUCGUGGCUGGUCGAGUGGCUGCUUGCCGAAACGCUGCGGGAAAGGUUCGUCUGCCCUUGUCCUACUUCGGGAUACCUUGUUUGGGGCACGUUGGAUUCUGGUGCAUUGCAAAAGUUGAUUCACCAAGGUUGUCUGUUGUGCAAGGGUGCUCGUAAACGCUACGACUUGUCGAGACAAGUGUUGUUCGUCAUUUGGAUUGGAAUAGCUUGGAAGGAAUGUGCCUUCUUGGGCAGUGGAAGGGUGGUAGACUCCGGGCUCGAGAUUUGAGUUGGGAAAUGUCAAAUCUACGAAAAAAUGUGGUGAGAAUGCCCCCGGCUCGAUGGUAGGUCCGGAUGGUUGAGAUAGUCUUGGGCCGACUUGGGCUGCUUGGAAAGCCACGGGAGCAGGCUGGGCCACGAGAGUGAGCUGCUCGGCAGGAGUAGGCUGGGCUACGAGAGUGGGCUGCUCGGCAGGAGCAAACUGCUUGGAGUGUGAUGCACAUGGGUGCGAGGCUUGGGCUCGGCUUGGUAACACAUUGAGUUCGGGUUUGGCUUGGAGUGACAUGACUUGGGCCGUGGCCUUGGUGUCGUGAGCCUUGGAUGGCACGGCUCGGGCAGUGGUAGCUGUGCCAUGGACCUCGCCGCGGGUAGUGGUGACCGUGAUGGCCACCGCGGUGGUUGCCAUGGUGGAGCCCCGUAGUGAUGGUGCCGCUCCUAUGAUCACAUUUAGCCUCGUGGAUCGUCGUGGUCCCAUUUCUUGAAUAUUAGAAUUUUCACUUAUGGAAUUUUCUAAAUUUCUAGCCAUUAUAUUUUUCUUAUACGUUUUAUCAAAGAACCUUUGCAAAUAAAAAAUUCUAAUAAUAAGAACGUAUGAAAAAAUAUUCAAAUGGACUAGAAAAUAGAGAAAAACCUUUUUAUGCGAGAGUCUUCUACGAGUAUAGAUCUCAACUCUCAAUGAAAGCACCAAUUUGUGGAUGCAAAUUUCUUCCUCCUUGAUCCUAGACAAUUUUGCACCUACAAAACAAUUAACACCUUAGGUUAAGGCCAAGAGCCUCACACGCCCACGAUGAAUGGGGGGGCUUUGGCCGAAGAACCUCUGAUGCCAAAGUUAGAAUUUAGAGAGAUAGAGUGUUCAGAGAAUUUUGAGAUUUUUGCCAAAGUGUUGGAAUGGAUUUUUGGUGAGAAUGGGAUCACUUUUAUAGGGAUAGGAAGUGGCCGGCCUAGCUAGGGUUUUUGGGUUUAAUUUAGGUUUAAUUAGUCAAUUUAUUUGGCUAAUUAAACCCUAAAGAAUAAAUUGGUGGUUACAAAAUUGAUUAUUUGUAUAAAUGGGGUAAUAAAAUGGAGAAAGGUGAAAAAGGUUAGGAAAAGGGAGGUGGCCGGCUUCUUAGUGGUUUUAGGUGUGAGUGGGUGUUUUAAUUGAUAAUUAAGGGAUUCAUUAGGUAAUUAAUCAAUUUUUAGGGAAUAUGAAAGGAAAAUAUUAUUUAGCUAAUUGAUUAGCUAAAUAAUGGAAUACAAAAUAUAUAGAACAAAUUAGGUAUUAGGAAUUACCUUAUAGAAAGGAUUUGAUGAAAUAAGCUUUAAAUUGUUACCUAUUUUGGGCACUUUUGACUUGGUUGAGGAUGAUUGUCUGCCGCUCACGCGUAGGAAUCUCGAUAUGCCUCAAGGGUAUUUUUGUUCUCUUUUACCCAAAAAUCCACGUGUCGCCUUGUGAUUAUUUUGGCUCCACAACAACCACGUCAGCAUUUAACAGACCAAUGGAUGGAAAAUCUAACGGAGGUAUUAUUUUGAAAUAAAAUAACAAGUGAGGUAUGAAAGUGAAAUGUUUUAAAGAUGUUGUAUGGGGUUGUAAUAGACCUCAAACUUGAGGGUCCUAUGUAAUUUACCUAUUUUUAUGUUAAUUAUGAAUAGGUCAAUCAUGUAGAACCAAAUUAAAAGCUAACAUCAAUAACAACUACCAGAGACAAAAGCUCUAAUCAAUGCUUCGGAAACAUAGUCUUGUAUCUCUAGGUGUAAUGAUAUAAUUUGUUGGAAACUUAAAAGAAAAUUGGUGAUUUUGUAUAUAAUCGAUAAAAAGUUAUAAUAGUGACAAUAUAUCAGUAAUAUUUAUGUUAAUUAGGAAUAGGUCAAUCAUGUAUUUAAUACUUACAUGCAUUUAAAAUAAACACCUUAUCAAUGUUUUUUUAACUGUGCUCAGUUUUUCUCCUUCGCUUUGGUUUUGUUCUAUUGGAUUUUUCAACUAUCAUUAAUUGUGAACAUAACUGAUCAUUGAGACACAAACAUCCAAGGGAGAGUACCGUGGAACAAAAUGUGGAUAUCUUUAUACAUUGUAUGGUAGUAAACCAUCAUAAACACCAUAAUAAUGUAGAAACGCUCUUGGGGUACCUUUGGAUGAUAACUCAUGUAUUUGUUGCCCUACGUAAAGAUGGCUAAUGAUAAUGGAAGUCUAAUUUUCUCAUCCCAAUCUCUCCUGUCUCUCUUGUUCUCUUUUCUCUAUAGUUUAUUUCCAACAAGUUGUGUUAUUUUUUUUUUUUAGUAUUGUUAAGCAACCAAUAGAUUUUAAUUAGCAGUCUUUGUUUUUUUCUUUUAUAUUUUUAAUCAAUUUCAGUUGCUUAUCCGUUCUAGCAAAUUGAGCUCUUUUACAGCAAUUUUUUUCUUUAAAUGAAAUUAUUAUUAUUAAAAGAGUGAGAAAAUUCGAAAUUAUUACAACAAUUUAAAAAAAAGAAGUUUCGAAUCAUAAACACAGAGGGAGUUUACAACAUUUUAAUUAAGAAAUUAGGCUUCAGCUCAACUCAUCUUUGCAACGUCGGUUCCACUUCACAUCAACAUGCAAUGUUUCAGAAGGUCACGCGGUUUUGGGGUUGUUGUGUACCAAUAAUAUUAUAUAUAUAUAAAUUAGGAUUGAAGGAUACACGCAUUUUGUAGAGCUUAUUUUGUUAUGUAUUUUAAUGAUUUAAAUGCUUACGUUUUUCUUCACUACAAAUGAGUGAAUUAAUGAUUUUAGAAUUUGUCUAAUUUUUUACAUUGAUUAUUUAUGAAUAUUGAAUUGAAAUAUAGACGAUUCAAAAAUCGUUGAUAUACAUUACAAAAUGAACUCCACAAAAUAAGCGUCAAAAUAUGUAUAUAAAAUGGACAGCGUGAAAGGCUUGGAAAUUGGAAUAGGUUUGAAAAUUGUGCUUUUUGUAGCAAAUUGUAGCAAAGUUUGCUUGGACUUUCACAACCGUAUAAAUUAUGCCGCAGCACUCUCUAUUUUCUCUCUCGCUCUAUAUCGUGGUCCCUCUCUCUCGCCGUCCUCGAUUGCUCGAACUCACUAUCCUUUAUUGCUCGAACUCACCGUCCUCAAUUGCUCGAACCCACUGUCCUUUAUUGCUCGAACUCACUGUCUCCAACUUCCUCUGUUUGGUUCCCGAUGAAGAUGGUAAAACAGUAGGGGCAAGAAAUUAUGACAAUGUUAGAUUUGCAUAUUAAUCUGGUAGGGCUACAAUUCUCCAAUCCACACCCCUUCCAUCUAUGCUAGUGUUUGUACCCAAUAUUAGAUAUCCGGUCUGUGCAAUCGAGAUCGUUGAAUGAGAAAAAUUCUAAGCCGUGGGAUCAAAUAUAAUGAUGUGGAUUAAAUAAGAAAAAUUUAAAUGUUUAUCUUGGUUGAAUUACCAUGAUAAUAUUGUGGAAUUAUCUUCUGCAUAACGGGAUAGCGAGAAAAGUCCAAGGGUGUAGGGAAGUUGUGUGGCUGACUACCGCUUUUUUUUAUGGUGUCAUUAGUAGAGUAAUAUCACACUUAACAUUUAUUUGUACCAUCUCUCUAAUAAAGAUAAAGACCAUCAAUGCAUAAAUAAUGAUACAAAUAUAUAAUAAGAGUAUCAUAUUUGUAACUAGAAUAGGAGAAGAAAGACUUCAAGAUGGGGUCAGCCAAAUAAUUAGCGUCAGGAUAAAAAUAUGAGUAAUGAUAUUUGUAAACAUCGAAAUUUCGGUAAAUAAAUGUUGACCGAUAAAUCAAAGUUUCAACGCUCAUGUAUUACAUAAAUUUUACACGUAGCGUAUGUCUAAACAAAAAAUCGAAAUAAGUUGGAAAAGUCAUCAAACAGGACACAUGUCAACACCUGGCAGAAACGACUUAUUUCAUCUGGAAUAUUAUAUUCAAAAUUAGGCAUUGGAAAAUUCUAUAAAUAGAAGCCAAUUUCAUUCAUUUGAAGGAACCAAAAUCAUUAGGCAAAAUUCUUGAAGCUCUGAAGCUCUGAAACUCCGAAACUCUCAAGCAUCCAGGUUCCCGAAGAAUCAAGAAAGCUCUCUUCGUUCUUCGUUCUUCGUUCAUCGUUCAUCCUAAGAUCAAGCUCCAACGGCCCUUUAGAUCAACAAUCAUCCACUAAUUCAAGAUCAAGCCCCGACGGCCCUUGAAGAAAGUGUUCUUCAUUCUUCGUUCAUCGUUCUUCCAAGAUCAAGCCCCAACGGCCCUUUGGAUUAACAAUCAUCCACCAAUUCAAGAUCAAGCCCCAACGGCCCUUGAAGAAAGUGUUCUUCGUUCUUCGUUCAUCGUUCUUCCAAGAUCAAGCCCCAACGGCCCUUUGGAUUAACAAUCAUCCACCAAUUCAAGAUCAAGCCCCAACGGCCCUUGAAGAAAGUGUUCUUCGUUCUUCGUUCAUCGUUCUUCCAAGAUCAAGCCCCGACGGCCCUUGGAUCAACAAUCCACCAAUUCAAGAUCAAGCCCCAAAGACCCUUGAAGAACUUCUACCAAUUCAAGAUCAAGCCCUGACGGCCCUUGAAGAAAGUGUUCAUUGUUCAUCAUCCGUUCAUCCCGAAGAAUCAAGAAAGCCUUAUUCGUUCUUCGUUCAUCGUUCUUCCAAGAUCAAGCCCCGACGGCCCUUGGGUCAACAUCAUCAACAAAUCCACACAUCCAACCGUUCUUCAAGAUCAAGCCCAAAAGCCCUUGAAGAUCCGUUCAUCACCGUUAUUCAAGAUCAAGCCUUAACGGCCCUUGAAGAAACACUCAUCCUCAAGAUCAAGCCCCAACGGCUCCUUGAAGAUCCGCUCAAAUCCACCUUCAAAGAUCAAGCCCACGGCCCCUUGAAGAAACAUCCAACAGUUCAUCCAAGAUCAAGCCUCGACGGCCCUUGGAUCAACGAAACAUCUACAAAUCAACACCUUACGGAGAUCGAAUCAGAUGAUCAAAUUAGAGAGAGAUUGUAACCCUAAAUCAUCAAAAUACAAAUAUUAUUUUGUGCACGUUGUUCUUAUCUCUUUCGUUUCAGGAAAUUUUCGUGUUCACAAUAUUCUUACCAUCUAAAUAUACUAUAAUUUUAUACCAUCUUAUGUGGCAAUUGAGAUGGACUUCCACAUAAGUUUUAAAAAAAUCUCAUGUCAGCUAAGGUGGAUAUUUACGAUUUUACGAUUUUACUCAAUGAUUUUUAUUAAUAAAAUAAUUAAAAAAUAAUAAUGAAACCUACUUGCUCCCGUUUUCAAGCCUCAUCGCUGGGCCUCCUCCCUCUUCGCUCUCCAAUUUCACCUUCCUUCACCAACGAUCGAUGGUGCUCGACCCCCUUCAUCAUUGCCAACUGGCCGAAUAUCUUGAUGGUGCUCCCAGUGAUUGUUUUGCUCUGCCACCAAAUCAAGUUUGCAAUUUUAAUGGUUUAUGCCUUCUGGCCAAGUGUUGGAUUUGAUAGGUUUUUAAUUCCAGCAACAUUGAACAAAAAUAUGAAAAGGAUUGGAUACGAUAUUUUCCUCUGUUCUACUGCUGAGGAUUUUCCGAAUAGAAGAAGAUUUGGAAGACAACCUCUUUUCUUUUUUCUUCAUGGACUUUUGGUUAGCACCAAAAUCUUUUCCUAAUCCUCUAUAGGAAUGAAAAUUUCAUUCCAUGUUAUAUCCCGAUGUUGUCCAAGGUUUUGGCUUGAAUUUUCAUUGGAAUUAUCAUAUGUUGGAUCAGAUCAGGUGGAGAGAUGAAACGUAUCUAACAAGGAAGUUGAACGGGUAGGGUUUGAGCAAAAAUAAACAGAAAUUCCACCUAGGUUGACACCUAAGCUUCCACAUCAUGUGGUAUACUAAAUGUGGUAUAAUAAGAUGGUAAGAAUAGCAUUAUUGAAUGGGUAAUGUUAAGAGAAAUUUUUAGUUGUGACGGGAACACGGAUGGUACACCAUGCGUUUUUAUGUAAAUGGUGGAAAAUUUUAAUUUUUAAAUUAUUAACCUUUUAGCACACAUAUCCCACCAUUUAUAUGAAAACACGUGAUGUAUCACCUCGUGUGAUAGUCACAUUGAAAAAUCUCUCGUAAUGUUAGGAAAACUAAAUUUAUAAACAAAAGUUACAAAUUAAAUGAUGGGUUACCAAUAAGAAUGAUUACGUUUAUCAAUGCUUAAAUAAUAAAUCAUUCAUCAACUUCCAGUCCUUUAGUUUUUAAAAUUUUGUCUAACAUUACCCUUUCAAAACUCAUGAAAAUAAUUUUCAAUUUUUUUAACUGAAAAGUGAAAGUUACUAAACAAGAUUUCAGUUUUUAGCUUUCAAAAAAAUAAAAACAAAAGCUAAAAAUAAAAUGGUUAUCAAACAUCCCUAGAAGUCAUUCUUAGUGAUAGUAAGGUCAUCUCCAACCGAAAGAUCCAGGGGGCUAGAGGGCCGAAAAUAGUCUGAAAACCAUUUCCAAUCAAAGGCCAUGCCAAAGGGGUCGUGGACCCCAUUAGACAAAAAAGGGCCAAAGGGCCAACUGGCUGGCCCCAGUUCCAACAAUAACUAGAUGACGUCAGUUAACCGUUAUUUUUGAAUUUUUUUUUUAACAAAUUUUAACUUUCUAAGCCAUUAAACAACAUUAAAUUAAGUAAAAAAGAAAAUUCCUAUAACUUCCUAAGUCAUUAAACAAUAUUAAAUUAAGUAACAUGAAACAACAUUAAACAAUAUUAAACAAAAUUAAACAAUAUUAAACAACAUUAAAUAACAUUUAACAACAUAAAAAUUAUACAACAUAAAAAAAAACAUUUAAGAACAUAAAAUUUAAAUGCCUACUUCAUGCUUCUUUUGGCCCAAAGAUGUGCAACAAGAUCCUAAUGUAGGUACUUGUUUGUGGCACGAGAGCGUAUCAUCCUAACCGUUAGAUUUGAUUUUUUUUUGUUUUCGGCCAAAUUUUUUUAAAUUUAAAAAUAAAUUAUGUUUGACCUUUUGGCCCUCGAUUGGAGAUAGUUUUUUUUGUGACAUGACUAUGUUUAGCCCUAUGACCCUUUGGCCCUCAGUUAGAGAUGGUAAGAAAUAUGACCCAACAAUGUUCAUUAAAAUAUUAAUUUCUUGAAGAGCCAGAGGGCUAAAACGAGCCAUCCUUCGGUUGGAGAUGGCCUAAGAAGAGACUAGAGAUAGAGAGAUUCCUAUACUUAGCUGUGAGAGUUUCCUAUAUAUGAUUUUCAUUAACAAGAUUGAACUGAUUACAUAGAGAAGAAGAUCAAGUAUGGUUAUUUUUAUUUGGGAGACUUUGGAUGUGGUCCUUAGUUAUGAAUAUUAUUUGAUUGAAAUCUUGUUGGUUUUUAAUUUUUUAUCAAGAUCCCUGAAAUUAAUGUGAUAAUUUAUUUCUAUGUAAGUUACUAUAUUUUUUUAAUUAGAAAUUAGAAAUUUUAGUUGUUUAUAUAAAUGAGAUUUUAAAUUAAAAAAACCAUAAUUUGUGGGAUUAAAAAUAUUAAAAUAUAAAUAUACUAUUGUGUGUGUGUGUGUGUGUGUGUGUGUAUAAAUAUGGGUACAUUCAUCAAAAUUAACCAAAAAAUUUAUUGUAUCAAAACAUGGGUACAUUCUUCAAAAUCACAAAAAAAGAAAGAUAUUAGGCUUAAUAACAUUAGUAAAUUUCUUCGAUUAAACUUGACAUGGAUACAUUUUAAAAUCAAAGAAAAAAAAUGUACCCAUAUAAGUUUAAAAAUGGAUUAGAAAAAAAAAUUGAAUAGAUUUUAUACAAAAAAAGGGUACGUUUUACAUAUAACAAAUUGGUAUAUUUAAGAAUGAGUACAUUUUAAGAUUAAAAAGUUUUACAUGAAUGGGUUCAUAUAAUUAGCAUGGGUACAUUUAGCAAAAUAAAAAGUACAAAUACAAAAAAAUAUAUGUGUACAAAUACAAAUAAACUUUAAAAAAUAUGGGCACAAAAAGAAAUUAAUAUAUGGGUACAAAUUAAAACCGAAAAGAAAAUUGGUACAAGUUAAAAAAGAAUUACAAAUUAAAAAUGGGUACAAACUAAAACUAAAAAUAUAUGAUAAAAAAUUUAGUCAUAAAUAUAAAUAUACUAAUUGUAACAUUUUUAACAUUAAAUGAAUAUAUUUAGACAUAAAAAAUAUAUUUUAUUAUUGAAAUAAUUAAUGAUGUUAUUAAUACCCAAGGACCUUGAUAAAAAAUUGAAAAGAAAUAGAAUUUUAAUCAAUGGAGUAGCAAAAGAAAAGAUGAGAACCUAAUUUCUCCUUUGUAUUGUGUAGACAUUAUAACUAUACAUUCAUAAUAACAUGAGUAAUGUUAUAUUUAUCACAUUUGUACUCUUUCUCCAAUAAAGAUAGGGUCCAUCAACACAUGUGGGUUCUAUUUGCCCAUCAACACAUGCGAAUCUCAUUUUUAUUAGAAAAAUAGUACAAAUAUGAUAUGGAAAUUAUGAUAAGAUCGCAAUUUUGUAAUAACAUAUAUACUCAACUAUUUAUAUACCAACUCAUCUCCCUUUAGUGUAGUUAAUAUUGUUUGUUCAACCAAAAAAAAAAAAACUGAACUUGUCAUAAUCAUUGAAUCCAUUUACCAUGAACAAACGGCAGUUUACUAAACUUGCCCUCAGAGUAUAUAUAAAAGGUGAAUCACAAUCUAUUGCAUUAAUAUAAGGAAACAAUUUAUAGGGUUUGACGGGUGACUUAAUAUGCUAUAUGGCACAAUGAAAAUUAAGUUCACACUUUAUCCCAAAUAAGGUGUUGCACCUUUAAUUUAUGGAUGCUGGUUUGACGUGUGACCGAAAUAAUCAAAUUGUAGCCAUUAAUCAUUUUACAAGUAAUAAUAUGUGGUUUUAUUGUUUACGAUUCACACAACAAUCUGCUAGGAAGUAGAAAAUGCAGUACUUGUCCCUCUCACAGAAGUCAUGAAUAAUUAUCAAAUUCAAAGAUAAAGAAAAACCACACAAUUUACAAGAGGAAAGAAAAUGAAGGGAUAAAGAAAGUAAGAAAGGAAUACCUCUAUGGGAGGACUCUUAUUUGCUUCAGAUGCCUACAAUAUUCAUCAUAUAAACACUGAUUAAGUAGUCAUCGAAAACCAAAACAAAUGUCGAACAUAGGGUGAAAAACAGAAAGAAUAACCGCAGCUCAUCAUACCAAUAGAGAUAGAACUGCCCGAUGCCCAAGUAUGACUGAAAAAUGGCAAUCCAAACAUGGCGCCUUCUAGCUCAUCAAACUGUCAAAACCUAGGUUCCACCAAAAAGAUACAAGUCACCUAGUUACUUGUAAAAUAAAAAUCUGUUUCAAAAUAGUGGAAAAUAUUAUUAACAUUGUUCAAAGUCCACAUUGUUGUACCUACCAAGAAACAAGAAGGAUUGUAUCUUAUCAUGAAAAAGAACAUAGGUACCUUUUCAAUUGUAAUUGUACAAAAAUGAGAGACCACUUCCGAACUUCUCUUGGAACUUCAAUCAAUUUCUGCCCACUUUUAAAUGCCUUGACAUACUUAAGCCUAUUUCUUUGAGCUUCAGUUUUGGCUUCUGAUGCCUUUAAAUUUCUUAAAGAUUCUUACCAAGUUUUACAAACUCACUUCUAUACAACCAUUUGUCAGUAUACAUACCAUUUUCUUUGAGCUUCAGUCUUUGCAACACCAAAACCCCCCAAAUAGACCCGGAAUUUUGCAAUGUGCAGGGAAUAUACAAAAAAAACCCUCCUAUCCAUCUAAAACGAAAUCAGAACGCAAACCACAAUCAAAAUCCGUAAAAUUAAUUUAGCCAACCCCUAAAUCUAAUAAUUCUAACAAAUAUUAUAGUAUCAAUUGAGAGAGAAUUUGAGAAGAUACCUAGAGAUGAAAGGAAGAGCGUUUCCUCUGAUAGGGGUUCCGUGAAAGCAUCUGUUGACCAGAAAAGAAAAGGCAAAAAACCCCAAAUUACAUAUCAAGCAAUUAUAGAUAGAUCGAACCUUGAAAAUUGAAAUUUCAAACAAGAGAAAGGUUAUAAACUUACAACGAUCUGGGUGUUGGUAACUGGGUUUGGAUUUGGGUUUCUGAUAAGAGAGAGAAUCGUAUGAGGAACCGAUAGAGGAACUGCACCGGCAACAGAGAGCAAUUGAUAUGGUGGAGAACAGACGAGAAUAGCUGCUUGGAUGGUCAAUCCAAGAAGAGAAAAUCUUGCCACAAUCGCGGUACUUGAAAAAAAAAAAAACAAGUUUAAAGGAGGGAAACAAUCGCGCCUUUUUCUAAUAGACUCUGUCGACGAUAUUCUUGACAAAUAGAUGCUUCGUCGGGUGAGCUUAUUUUUCACAACAUUUUAUUUAGGAUUGGGUUCGGUUGGUAAACCGUGUCAAAUUUCUUGUGCCACUUGCCAGCCACAUAUACAUAAUUACCGAAAAUCAGUUACCGUUAGCCAACCGUCUUCUUGCGGUUGCCAAAAAUCGGUUCAGCCAAAAUGAUUGGCUGGUUCGGUUGGUAAAUGGCACAACCGGUGGUUUCCACUUCUUCCUCGCUAUCUUCCAGUUCCAAGGGCUCAAUUUGAUUUUCAGAUUGGGAUGCUUGUUCGGUUGCAUUGUGUGGUUCAUUUUGGGUUAAUCCAUGUUGUGCACUAGUAGUUGAUUGGCUAGACUCCAUUAUCCUAAACAUAAGCAACAAAUAUACAUUCAAAAUAAUAUAUAUGUACGUGUAUAUAUAGUAUCAGUAAUCAUCAUGCUAUCAAUUUUGUUAACAAUAUUUUCUAUAUAUUGAUUUUGGCAUGAAUCAUAUACACAUACAUAUAUUUUUAAAACCCUAAAACUAAGGAGUCAUUUAUUUUCUAAACUCUAAAAUUGAGGAGUCAAGCAUGUAAAAAAAUACUUAAAAUAUCUAAAUAGAAAAAGAAAAAGAAAAAAAAAUAAAUAUAUAUAUAUAUCGGUAGGUAUGGCAUACCGCCGGCAUACAAAAUCAAUUACCAAAGCCAUGCCAUUAAUUGUCGGUUCGGUAAAAUGCCAACCGAUUAUGAAAAAAUGUCAAAACUAUACCAUACCAUUUUGAGCCAACCAGUAUGGUUUGGUCAGUAAAUCGGUUUAUGGCAAAAUUUCUCACCCCUAAUUUUAUUUGUCACCUUAAACCUAUUGGUUUCUAGCCUACAAUUCGGAUAUUUUGUUGGGGAAAGAUUUUUGUACCAAUAAAAUUUUGCUUUGUCGGCAAAAUGACAUUUUCUAGUAGUUAUAAUAUUAGGUAGAUCAAAUUUGUAAACUAUGUGAUGUGUCACUAAUAGGAAAAAAUUUCAGUGUGCUGAAAAUACGGUCUAGAACACCAAGUGUCAUAAUAUAUACUUGGUUGGAAAUCUUUUAUUUUCAAGUUUCCAACUAGUUGUAUUGUAACAGUUGGUGUUCCAAGCUAUUUUCUCCAUGCGCUGGAAAAUCUCUUCACUAAUUAAAAAUAAACAUAUUAAUUAACACUUAAGUAAUAAUCAAAGCAUCAACAACUACGUCAUAGAAUUUACGAAAUAUGAUCUUAAUUAAUGAUCUCCAUUACCCUUUAUCUUAGCGUAUACGUACGCCUUCACAUGUUUAUUUGCUGAUAUGCAGCUUGAGUAAAAAUUUCUUUUUAAGAACAUAUAUGUGAAUAUAAACAUAUAUAUCUAGUGAUCCAUGUUGCGUUAUUUAAAAAUAAACAAAUUAAUUAAUUAAUGAACUGUGUACCUGUCUGUGUAGAGUAAUCCAUAUGCAUGCUUGAAUCCUGAUCACCACGAAACCAUAAUAUAAGCUACUCAAGGCCCGGAAGCUAGGAUUGAAGAGAAAAACACCCAGUCAGAUUAAGCCAAUACAUCAAAGUUAAUACUUCCAAAUGUAAGCUUUAAGAUAGAAAAAUCACUUACUUCCUUGAGCAGUCGAGCUUCUUCAAUGGCAUGAAGCUUUUAGCAUGAGAUUGACUGCAUCACAACUAAAAUUUUCUCUUGGAAACUACAUAAGGAAUAGCAUGUAUACCUAUAACGUUGAGAAAGUACGCCAAUUUUUUCCUUCUGCACAUUCAUGUUUAAAAGUAAUCCUCAAAUGAACUUGCCCACAAUGAAAUGCAAUUUGAGGUAGUCGAGUGUGUUCCAUUUCCAUCCCAUCGGAAUUACUACUAAACUUUGAGAUGGUAGAGGAUUCAUGAAAUUUUUUACUUUUGAAAUAGUCUCCUUAGCAUUUCUCGACUAUAACAAUGAGGAAAUACUUCACCUUGUAUCAAACAAGGGAGACCGAAAAUCAACUACUAAUAGCAUCACAGAGCCAGCAGAAGAUUGAGGAGGCCAUGAAAAGGAAAGAGAAAAUACACUCUUUUUUUGUAAGGACAGAGAUAAUACAUUCAAUAAAGGGUACUGAUGUUUAUAUGCAAAGCUGAUUAGGUUUAAAUAGUCGUAUUUAUUCUGUACAGUGCCAAUAUUACCACCCGUUAGUACACUUUCAAGACACUGUAAUCCAGUGUAUGCACUAUGCAGUACGUAGUACUCCUCAUUUUUUUGGGGAAAUUCAUUAUUGGUCUUCAUAUCUUCUUUAUUUUCCUUGUCCUCAUUGUGCCACGUGUUUAAAUCACUAAUUAUAGGUAAUCUUUCAAUUUAAUUAAAUCUUAUGUAAAAAAAGAUAAUUAAAUAUCAUUUAGUAUUACAAUAUAGUGAUAUUCCUCUUUAGUAUAAAAUUUUUAUAAUUAAAAGCGUUCAGCUUUUUAAUCUUCAUUGGAAUAUUAUCUAUAAAGAAAAAUUAUUCGAAUCAGAGAUCAUUUAUGCAUUCAAAUGUAUAAAAUACAUCGACAGUGUGAGAACCAACUAAUAUAUUUUUGAUGAAGUACAAUUAUUGAAUACAUUUGAACGAUCAAAUGAUAUAUGAUUCAAAAUACAUAUUAAGAUAAUAAAUAUAAAAGAAUUGUUAUUUGCACUUCAAGAAUCUCAUUCUACACUCUAAAUUUUCUAUAUAUUAAAAGAAAAAUAAAUUUGUGAAAAGUGUAGAAUGAGGUUUUUUUAAAUGCUAAUAACACUUCUCUAAAUACAAUUAUGAAAUUAAUUAAGUAAAGAUACAUGACCUCGUGAAUGAUGAAUGUAUUAUUCAAAAAAAUAUUAAAAACAAAUUGAAAAAGGACGCUGUUGUUGCCACCACUUAUGCAAUGAUCGUCGCUGCCAUCACCAACCCCCAACACCCCAUUACAGCUCAUAAAAGCACAUCAUAAGCAAUUUAUGAAAUAAAUUUACUGGAAUACUAAUUUCCCCCUUAGUUUAGGUCACCAAUGUUUAAAUUUAGGGAUCGUGAUAUCCACACACAUUUUUUACUUCUUUCACACUUUUUUUUUCGGUUGUCGGAUCAGAUGAAUUGAAGAAAAUCAAUGAACAGAAAUUAACAAGGGGUGUGUGAGAAGUAAAAAUGAAUGUGUGGAUAACACACCCCUAAAUUUAUCACAACUUUCAUUCCAAAUUUAAUUUUUAUCCGUAGUUUUGUUUGUUCAAAUUUACUUUGACAUUUCCAUUAGUAUUAAAAUCUAAUUUAAAUUUUAGUGUUCAAGCUAGAAAAAGUGUUCCAUUUAAUAUUUAAUCUCAGUUUUUCUCUUUAUUCUUUUAUUGGGAUUUGGUUGCAUCGUAUCUCCAUUUUUCUCGGUGUUGUAUGUUCAUAAGGCCUGUGAAACGUUGGCACGGAGUGAAGGGUACUCACUUUUUGGCCCAAAAUGCAUAAGGCAUGUAGAUAUGUUAAUCAAAUUUUGUAAACUAAAGGAUAUAGAAGUUGAUAAUUAGAUUAUAAUUUAAGAUAAUACUAAGGAGACUAAAUUUGCAAACUAAAUGAUGUGUCACCAAUAAAAAUAAGCACGUUUAUCAACAAUUAAGUAAUAAAUCAAUCAUCAACUUUCAUGUCCUUUAGUUUCCAAGAUUUAAUAUACAAAUUUAGUCUCCCAAGCAUUACUCUAUUACUUAAGUAUUGAUUAACAGACUUAUUUCUUAUGGUGACACAUUAUUUAGUUUACAAUUUUAGUCUACCCAACAUUACUCUUUUGAAAUUGUCUUGUCCACUGAUAUAAUUCUAUUUUUCUUGUGAUCAAAACUUCAAAUGUUAGCAAGUCGCACGUAAAGUCGCUUAUGAGAGAAUGUGCUCACAUUGUAGUUGAAAGAUUAUGUGGCUAGCAACAUUACAAAUUUAAUUUGGUAUAAUUCUAAAAUAUAGAUUGAGGAAAAAAUGAUCACAUUAACUAGAAACUGAAAAGGUUUCAGCACAGUUUGUUCAAGCAAGAAAUUCAAUUUUGAUGCUACCGAUCUUAACAGCCUGAGCGCCGUACCUGGGCACCAAAGUCACCACCACACUCUCAUCAUCUUCAGCACCCAAAUCCUCCAACAGGUCCGUUAACCCCAACCUUAAACAACUCUUGCUCUUUUCCUUCUGCUUAUGUGGCACACUCACAAAACUCCCAGCAAACUCGCUCUUGUCGGGUCCACUCGGUGCCGCAUCCUCAUCGUCCACGUCAUUCACAUACACACAUCAAACUUCACAGCCACAUCUUUGUCAAGCUCAAUCCCCUGAAUCACCAAUAUCUCCUCCUCAUCCUCUUUCUCCUUCUUGCUCCUCUUCUUCGGCUUCGGCCUUGACACCACCGUACUUAUCUUCGUCUCCAAAUUUAUUGGAAAAUCUUUACCCGCCACCACCUUCCCUGAUGACGUCGUCUCAGUGGCCUUCGCCACUCCAGCCGCCUUUGCCUUUCUCGCAAGCUUUGUCCGACGUGGCGUCGGUCUAGACUUGAGCCAUGGAAUCUCAACAUCUUCAUACGUAUACCCUAGCUUUUUAUUAUCAAGAGUGUCCCUCACCGUGACCCUAACAAGCUCAGCAUUCUCGUCAUAAAACAAAAACCCCGUAUCCAACCAAUCCUUAUCGUUAAUAUCGUUAUUUUUAGUCCCUAUACUUUUCCAAAUAUUCCACAUUCGAUCUAUAUUCGAAUGGUGCGAAAAAAAUAUUGGAUCCCUUGCAGCGGAGUAAAAAUUCCCCAUGUCUUCAAAAUUAGGCUGCGUGUUAUCUCCGGUCCAUAAAUGAACCGGACCAUGUGGGGUCGUUUCGAUUGAACCGCCCCCUGGAUCUGGUUCAGUGUCAGCCCUGUAGGGCGAACCAAAGAACAACAGCGGUUUCUUGGAGUUGGAAACCAUCUGCCUAUACAUGAUUUUGAGGUUGGCGUCGAUUUGAGCAUCCUUGGACAUUGUUUCAUCCGUGCCGUUGAAGUCAAGAUCGAUGAGAGUCGGCGGCUGAUGGCUGGCAGCGCGGAGCUCGUCGUAAAGCGGAGAGUCCGGGUUAGCGAACAAGGCAGGGAGUUGCAUGCCAGCUGGCGCGUCCCAGUUCCAAAACGGCAACGCGAACGUCGGAUCGUCUAUGAGUUUGGCCAAGAUUCUUUCGUAGAAGUAUACGUAGUAACGAUGGAAGGGGAAGAAAAGCCAGCAUUGAUGGAUUUGGAGCUCGAGGUUGGGGAAGCCGACUUGGUCGUACGCGCCGUCGCAAUAGGCACAGUGGAGAUCGGCUUGCUGGGUGAAGCUACGCGGAUCGUCGUCCGGGAGGGCUUUCAUGAGCUCGAUGGCUUUUGAAUAUUUUUCGAUGUAGGCUUUAUCCACGGUGUGAGCUGCCGGCCUGACGCGGAGUUUGGUAGGGGAGGGGAAUUUGAAGUCUACGAUUUUUUGGGACGUUGGCGGGCAACAGUUGAUCGGGACUGCUCCACUUGGAAAGUCCGCAGCUCCGCAUUUGGCUAGGUCAGGCGGCAACACUGGCUUUGCAACAGCGAAGGGGUCGCUGCCAAGACCAGCCACUCC
RNAcentral lists this long non-coding RNA (68626 nucleotides) under Malus domestica (apple). Its description in RNAcentral is "long non-coding RNA (MDOM_LNC009719)". Lineage: Eukaryota; Viridiplantae; Streptophyta; Magnoliopsida; Rosales; Rosaceae. The record is from RNAcentral.